GUUCUAGUGCGGUACUCCGCAGACGAUUGACUCAAGACCGAGUCGGGUGGUUAGCCUUGUAAAGGUAGAUGAAACUUUAUGAUUAAAACGGUGAUUGACAAGAAUCUAAGAUAGAGGAAACCUUAGAUAUCGAAUGGAUGAGCUAUGGUUAGCAGAAUUGAAAGUAGUGUCAAAUGAACUACUAGUUGGUUGCAUAGUUGCAUUAUUGCAUGAUUUGCAUAUAGCAUUGCAUUAUUGCAUUCGUGAGGCAAAGCAUGGUUUUAUUAGUUGCAUAAUAAAGAUAUAUAUCUAUCUGUUUAUUGAACUAACUUGCAGUUGCCUCCCUUGGACCUAUUGGUCGAGCUCUUCCCUUGGGUGGCCGUACCCACUGGGAACCAUGGAGUUUGUUCUCACCCCACGUGGUUUUGGGGUUUUUACAGGUUCGCACGUGAGCGGCGCGGUGGCGCGAGGCGAGGGUGUAGCUCCAUAGUUAGCGCCCUACCACCGAGACCAGAGGUAGUGGUACCCUAAGUCGGCCUUACUUAGGGAUGUAAAGAAUGAAAGAAUCAAGUUGUAAUAAUUAUAUUAAAUCGGAUUGUAUUUGGAAGUUAAAUGUAAUAAGUAUUUGGGAUGUAAAAAUGUAUGAAUAUGAAUGAAUGUAAUAAUAUAGGAUGUGUUUAUAUUGUUUGAUACCUUCCAUUAUGCAAUCUUGAUUGAAAUGUGUUCCUGGUUGGAACUUCGCACAUUGUAUUGAUUGCUAUGCCUUGAACGUACAGGGGAGACUCUGUCCGCAGUUCAGGGGAAACCCUGUCCGUUCGGCGAUCUGUUGGCGGCGCCGCGACCCGGCCAAAUAGGCAGGCGGUCGCGGGGCGUGACAGUUUCGCAGACGAAACUCUUUUUUAGGAGGGAAGAAUGUAACACACUGGACUUUUGCAAAUUGCACGGUUCGAGUGUUUGAUUUGUGUUUCGAGCUUUUCCAUAUUUUCUGGAAGGUCGUAGACAGUGUUCCGACCUAUGGCUCGCAUCUCGAGAAUUGUGGUUUAAAAUCUUGCACCAAACCCAAAAAGAUGGAUUUUUGGUCAGCUCUCGGGUUUGCCUCAGCAGGGCUGUCUACCGGUACAUCCUUGAUGGUUGUACCGGAACAGAUUUUGUACCAGUACACCUUGAUGGUUGUACCGGUACAAAUGUGAUUUUUAGCCAACCCGAGCCUUGGGUUUGUGUGUUCGGGGGAUUUGUACCGGUACACUUUCCCGUGUACCGGUACACUUUCCCGUGUACCGGUACACUUUGCCAGACUUCAAACUGGCAGAUCUGCAGGGGUGUUUUGCCAUUGUUGCUUCUCUAUAUUAGUCCCCACGCCCCUUAGGGCCUUCCCUGAGCUGGGAACACAGGAGAUUGAGGUAGGGGAGCUUCUCACUUUCCCUCUAUGGAUUUUAUCUCCAUUUCUCUUGGAUUUUUGUUGUUUAACUCCUCUCUUUUCUUCUUGGUACAAAUUCCACUAUUGUUGAAGGCUUAGAGCUUGAAGAGGAGCUUGUUUGAGAGGAAAUCUUCAACCCUAGUUGGUUUGGAGCCUAGUUUGGAGCUUCUUAAGAGGUUAGAAACUUGUUUUCUCCUUUUAAUCCAUGAUUUAGUAGAUUUCUUGAGAUGAAACCCUAGAAUGGAAAUUUAGGGUUUGAAAUGGGGAAUUUUGAUCUAGGGCUUUUAGAGCUUGAUUGAUGAGUUUGGAACCUUGGUUUAGGUUGCAUUGGAAGGGUCUUAGCUCUCAUUUGGGUUUUAAAAGGGGCUUUUACACUAUAGAUAAGUUUUGGCCCUUUUGUUGAGUUAGUUAAUGUUUAACCAUUGGAUUGUUCGUAACGUUCGUUUAACUCUCCUUUUAUUACCUUUAGGGUGCUAGGAGAAUAGUGGGCAACUUCGUUCGGCGAAACGAAAGAGUUCGAAAUGUUUCCGGUAGGUUUGAUCUCACCGAAAUAGGUGAACUCCUCCCUAAACCCCUUAUUUGGUUUUAAGAUCCAAUUAAAUACUUUGUCAUGCUCAAAAUGACAUGCUAGGAUUUAUGAGGACACAUUACAUAUAUGCUAUGUAAAGUUAAUUAAUGCUCUAUGUAGUAGAGGCAUUUAUGUGAACUUGUGCAUGAAUUAGUUCUAGUGGGCGAUUUCUCUUUUAUGCAACCUUAGAAGACAUGUUAGAGCAUGAUUGACGGUGUGACCCUUGGGGGAUCUCGACUUAUGGGUUUGGUAAAGUGAUCAUCUUACAUGUUAAACAAGAUACUUGUGUAGACAAAGAAAUAGGACUUUGUGACCUAGUAAUUAACAAGGUGUUGACCUUGAGUUUAAUAGCAUAUCUACAAGACUUGGACUUCUGCAUGAAUGAGACUUAGCAAAUAUUUCCAUGAUAUACCACACUUGUUGUAGACAAGUAGUUGUGACAUGAUGACAUAGUACAUGUAAGAUCUAUAAGAAACCAAGUUGGGACAUUCAUUCUAGUUGAAUAAUUGUAUGUGGCGUUAAUUGAAUGGAAUUACUGCAUGAUAACUUAUUGCUCCAUAUAGUGGAGGUCUUGUUGGUAAUGUAAAUUCAUGACAUGCAUCAUGGACAUUGUAGUAUCAACGCAUAUGGCAUAAGAAAGUGACUAUCUUAGCUAUAGUGGAAUAGACUAAGUGUAAACUUUCAUUGAGACUUGAGCAAUAGUGAACUAUUCUAGAUAGGAUAAUGACAUGUGUUAUGUGAAUAUGAACUAGAGACUUUUACUUGACAUAGUAAAUAUAAACGUCAUGUAGUGACAUUCGGGUUAGUAAAUGAUAACCUUGACACUUGAUACUAUACUUGGACCUUUGGGAUCGUGCUACAUAUUCCAUAUUUUAGACAUGAGGACCGAGAGUUGGAUAUUAUUGAUCAUGCUUGCUUGCCAUUGUGCUCAUUCGCAUAUGCUUGUGAGGGUCGCUUCCCACAAGCCAGCACUCCGGAGAUAGCCUACGCGACACAAGCUCGUCCAUGCGGAAUUGGGGGCCAAAAUGGGAUGUUGACUACCGCAGGGCCAUUUUUGGCACGGCACAAGCCGGACUACACACGUGUAGAUCCAUGACGAGAAUUGAACUGUGAUACCAAAUGUGUAAUGAGAAAACUACUACUAGAAAGUGCAUCCUAGUUGGAUUUGUAGAUAUGCAUGAUAGUGCAUAGUGUGAGUGUGAACUUAUGUUAGUCAUUCUUGGCAUUGACAUUCUAGUGGUAGUAGAUUACACCUUUGUUGAUUGGCUUAUUGUAUGGUUAGAAUAGUAAUGAAAAGUAUCAUCCUUCAUUGUAAUAUUAUGAACAUAAUGGACAUGCAGGACAAUUAGUAUACAAUGGAUUAUGCAUGUAAACCGACAUUAACAUCUAGUUGAUCAAAUGACAAUAGAACCUCAUAUGCAUAAUAGUAUUUGUUUAGUAAAAGCAUGACUUUGAUGAACAUGUUUAAGUACAUGCCUUUCAUAUCUGUUUAUUAACUUACCAUUAUAGCAUGCUUAUGUUAGCCUAGUGGAGCAUUUCACUGAGAUCAGUAAUUGCCCACUGAGAACUAUUUUUAGGAUAGUUCUCACACCCCCCUAUUUUUGUUGUUGUUUUCAAAGCCAUCCGCAUCGGGAGUGGCUAGGGAUCGAGGCAAGGGGUUAGCGGCUAGCUAGAGCCCUACGGAGUUAUUUUAGUUGGACCCGAUGUCAUCUNCUAUGCCUGCUUGAGACCUAGUGGGUAGAUCGGUGGAGUCGGCGGCCGAACCCACUGGGAACUAUUCGUAGUUCUCACCCCCGUGUGGUUUUGGGGGUACAGGUACACAGGACAGCGGGCCUUCAUCGAUGGAUCGUGGUAAGGGCAUAGCGCCCUAGCUUUUGGUAGAUAGUUUACCUUGCCUACUUGCAUUAGCUCUAUACCCUGUACUUUUGGUUAUGCUUUGAGAGUAGAUGAUGUAUAGGGUGAGGUUUGGAGAGCAUAUGAUGUAUUUUCAUUUUGGAAAAAAGGAUGCAAGUUGUAUUAAAUACUUAAAGUUUAAAUGAUAUCGAAGAGGUUUAAUGUUUCAAUCAUGGUUUAAAUAGCUAAGUUUAUCUCUUUUGUAUACUUGUAUGGUUUUACUUAUAUCGCUUGCUCUAGUUGAUAGUAGCACUGCUUGUGCUCUCGUUUAUCGUUGUUUGAUUGUGUAUGUAUGCAAGUUGUUUUCCUGGGAACUUGUUGUACACAAUCUGUUGCUUAGCCUUGGGCGGACAGGGGAAACUCCGUCCGUUCGGCGGUCGCGCCGCCGCCCUCGAACCGGACCAAAUUGGUACCGUUUUCGGGCCGCGCGGUUGGGGCGUGACACUAGGUGCUUCGAUGACUUUCUUGAGAUUUUUGGACUCCUCAUUCUUCACCUGCGGCAAAACGAAGCAAUCUUAGGCCAUUUUGCCCAUAUCUUUACAUCGGCUUUUCGUAACGUUAAUCCGAGCGCACCAACGCGUCGGAAAUACCCCCAAUUAGGUUUUUGAAGGGUUAAUUUCACUUAGGAAUCCCCAUGAGCAAAAGCCCCAAUUUGGUGCCCUAGCUCCAUUACAUAUACAAAACCUAGGGUUUGAUCUCAUUGGGAAGCANUAGUUGUAUACUUUUGUAUCUCUAUUUGUGGAUCCCUUUAUGCUAGAACUUUAGUGAUUUUAUUAUACUCGCUCUGAUAGCCUUAUUAGGACUUCUAUGUUCAUUUCUUGUUUAGUAGACCCCUUGUGUGCAUCAUAUUUGUUGGUGUACACGGCGGGUCUGUGCACGCGCCGGCGGGCUUCUGCUGGGCCCGGGGCGUGACACCCGCUACCAAUUUGGUCCAGGUCGGGCGCGUCGAGCAGACGCCGAACGGACAGGACCUCCUCCGUCCGCCUAAGGCUAAACAACGAGAUCAUACAACAACAGCGAGAGCACAACCAGUGCUAAAUAAUCAAGAGCAAGUAUCACAAGUAGAGUAUAUACAAGUGAACAAAAGAGAGAUACUUAUCUAUUACAUUUAUGCAACUUUUAUACAUCUGAUUACAUUUAAACUUCCAAAACAUAAACAUAGAGUUUACAAUCUUCCAAAAUAUCUCACACCUAUACAUCAUCUACUCUCGUGUAUAUACAAGGUAACUACUAAUGGAAUGGGAAGUAUCUACAACCUCUAGGGCGCUUAGCCCUUACCAAGAUCCUCGCCGGGUGUACUCGAGCUCGGCCCUGCAACAAAGUGGGGUGAGAACUAUUAUCCAUAGUUCCUAGUGGGUUCGGCCGCCGACUUCGCAGAUCUCCCCACUAGGUCUAAACAAGCAUAGGCAGAUAGAUAGAUAGAUAGAUAACUUGCAAGCGAUAACAUAGUAAGAAGACAUGAAAGUAAUCUACCCUGCCUCAAUCUAUAAUCAUGCAUGCAACAUAAGUAAAGGCUAACUACCAAGCUAUCAUACUCAAUAAUGAUGUAAUUCAUUAGAUUACCCAAUCAAUCGGCUAACCCGAAGGUUCGCCACCAUCUCACGUCUCAAAGUCUCAUAGGGGAGGAGAUUUUAAUCACUCGGCUACCCCUGAGACCGCCUGCGGAUAGCUAGCUACUGUCCGGGCAACUCACGACUGCCCCUCUAGUGACCAAAACUCUGGAGUGCACAGCUUGUGUGGAGCGACCACUAUAAGCGCAGACAGGCUAUGUGAGUUCGAUCCAAUCCUCCUGAACUGGGGAUACCCUACCAACUAGGAAUAGCAUCAUCAUGGAAAUCAAUGUAGUCCUUGUCACACCCCGGGACCGAUACGAAUUUGGCCCGACCCGAGCACGUCAAACAGACGCCGAACGGACAGAGUUUUCCCUAUCCGCCCAAGGCUCAUCACAUGUAUAUUUUCAUCAAUAUAGAAAAGCACUAGCGGAAACAUACACAAACGGCUUACGCGAGGGUAAGCAAUAGCCAUUAGUGAAAGAAAGGAAAACUAAACAUUUACAAGUACUAUGAUUCAUUUUUGAUCAUCUACAUUGCAUCCAUAUUGUACAUUUUCAAAUUCCUUACAUUUCACUUCAUUACAUUGCUUGCAUCAUUUCCUUUUACAUCACACUUACCUCAAAAUGAGCUUUACAUUCUUCUCUUUACAUCACUAGUCAUCAAAUACAAAAGAUGAACAUAAGGUACUCUACUAACAAAAUGUAACCCAACUCAACUCUGGUGGCCUCUGUCUAAGGUGCGAUACCUUUACCUCGGUCGCUCGCCGGCUCGCUCGGUCCCAGCUCUGUGGAAAUAGUGGGGUGAGAACUACAACAAAGUUUCCAGUGGGUUCGGCCUCAACAUCACCGACUUUCCCACUAGGACUAACUCAGGCAUAAUAGAAAAAAUAAGCUGCAUAUAGUAACNCACGCGAUGCAUCCGGUCUCUCUUUGGGGGACCGGUCUCUCGGGGACCGGUCUCUCAAGCAGGGACCGGUUCCCGAGAGCUAGUUUCUCAGGACUUAGCCGAUUUUUCGGCUGUCUCAUUCCUCACGCGUUCGGGGACCGGUCUCUCCCACUAGGGACCGGUCCCCGAGAGCUCAAAACUGCAGAAUGCAGAUUUUGAUCCUUUAGCUCUCGAAAACCUUCCGUAAUUCACUUUUGCUCAUUUUAACACCUUCGGACUUUCCGAAGUGUACCAUCCACGCACUUUGGUCAAUUUGACUAAAGUUCGAUAUUUAUUUUUCGAAUUUUCGGUAUAUUACAUUCCUGCACUAAUCUCAUAGUGUUUCACUACACUAACGUUCUUAUGCCACUCGUUCUCGUGUUCAACACUAACUAGAUGCCACUUGUUCUUGUUACAUGUUUCCAAUAUUCUAGUUUACACUUUACUAGGUUUUCAUCCACAUAGGCACAUUCAUCAUUUAUCAUCUCAUUAUAGUGUUCGAAGUCAUCAUGUCACGCUAUCAUGCAUACUAGGUCCAAGUGUCAAGCAAGCGACUCUACACUACCACUAGCAUGCAAGAAUAUACAACAACAUACUAAAUACCCUAUAAUGCAAUAUGGCAAGAUGCUUAUGAGAUCAACAGUGAGCCUCAGACAUAGGGAGCAGUUCAACUGCUUCGGGAUGGCACCACCCACCUUUUGACGAUGCUACGAAGUAGGAAACCCAAUCUCACGAUCACUCGUCGCCGCUUCGACCUCUCGAGCGGAAACGAAGCCGAAACGCUCUUCGCUUGGCGAUAUCUCUGCACCGACUCGACGAAUCGUCGAACCGUCGCCGCCAACGCGUUUAAACACCUAUCAAUUAGGUUUACAACCAACUAAUUUAGAUCAAAACCCUAAAUUUUCCAAAACAUUAGAGCCCUAGGUUUCAACAAUGCGAAAAUCCACGAUUCUAGCUUGAGAUUCAAGCAUGAAGCAUCUACUAGGGACACUAAAGUUCCAACAAAACCAUUUCUAGAGUAUUUAAACUCUACCCUAAAAAUCCACCAUUAAUGCUCUAGGAGCUUACCUCUCAAGCAUGCUCCAAACUAGAGGAAGAAGAUGAAGAAGAUAAUGCCUUCCUCCUUGACCUUCUUCUCCUUCUACUCCUUCUCCUUCUUUCACCUUAGAGGGAGAGAGAGCAAGAGCUUAGAGAGAGAGAGGAGUGUUUAGGUUUAGCUUUGGGGAAGAAAUGAGAAGAGAGAGAGAGCAAGAGCUCUCAUAUAGCUUCACUCAUGUAACAUUGCAUUUUAGCCACUCAACUUUCCAACCAUGAAACAGCCCAUCAUUGGGCAUUUUCGGGCACGGGGACCGGCCCCUCUAAGGGAGGACCGAUCCCCGAGAGUAAUUUUUCCUAGGUUGAGCUUCGGCUCAACCCUUGCACGCGUACGGGAACCGGUCCCUCUUAAGGCGGACCGGUUCCCGAGAGCAACCUUGGCAGGUUGAGCAUCAGCUUUGUAGCACACUGGACCUUUGCAAAUUGCAUGGUUCGAGUGUUUGAUGUGUACUCCGAACUUUUCCACACUUGGUGGAAGGCCGUAGAUGAUAUUUCGGCCUAAAAGUUCGAUCUCUAGAGUUUUGACUUUGUCCUGAGAGUUUUCACUCUCGGAGACCGGUCCUUGAUAUGAGAGACCGGUCCCCUCAGCUCAGUGUUGCGGCAGCUGGCGAGGCAACAGGUCCCUGGCAGGCGAGACCGGUCCCCGAGCGCGUCUGCGCGGGGAGAGUCCGGUCCCGUGCGGGUAGAGACCGGUUCCCGAACGUUGGUUUUGCGGGACGAACUGAGAGACCGGUCCCAGGUGUCGGGGAGACCGGUCCCUCAGUGCGAAAACAGCCUAGACCGGGCAGUGCACGGAGUGGAUUUUUGAGGGACCUAAGUGGAUUUUGUUGCUUUUGAUGGCUUAUAGAGCCUCUUCUCUUCCUCUCACUCUCAUUUUUUCUCCCUCACACCCAUUCUAGAGAGAGAAAGAGGAGGAGAAGAAGAAGGAGUUGGAGGAGAAGAGCUCACUUGGAGGCCUUGGAGCAUCAUCUUCUUCCUCAUUUCUCACCUUGGUAGCUUGGAGCUUGCUUUUGAAGCUUGGUGGUGGACCACUCCUCAACCCUUGAGGAUCUUGGACUUGGUUUGGAGCUUCCUAGAGGUAUGUGACUAGUUCUUCUCCUCUAGAUUCUAGUUUUGAAGCUUUUUGCUUGAUGAAACCCUAGAUUGGGAUUCUAGGGUUAGUUUUGGGGCUUUUUGAUUUGAGAGCUUUGGAACCUUUUUGAUUGGUUUAGAACCUUCCUUUAGGUUGGAUUGGGAGGGUUCUUGCCCCCAUUUGGAGUUUGAGUGAGGAUUUCUUCACUUAAGGUGAGUUUCCUCCAUCUUAGCCUAGGUUACUUAUUGAUUGAGCUUAGGGUUGAUCGUAAGGUUUGCUUAACCCCUGUUCCUACAUCUUUAGGGUGCUAGGAGACUAGUCGGCACCUUCGUCGGAGCUUACGAAGAAUCGCGAGAGUUGUGGUAGGUUUGACUUCAUGAAAACGGGGCAAAAUGGCCCCUAUGCUUUCUAAAAUCUUCGUAAAGUUUUUUUUAAGAGCAAAUCCAUAUUAAACAUGAUUUAUAUGAAUUUUAGAACACUUGAUAUGCAUGCCUUAUAUAUACCUUGAAAUUUACACUCUAUAUAGUAGAGCUAUAUGUGUAGACUGCAUGCAUUGUGAAAGGUGGUUGGCUUUGCAAGUUGAGAACAUGUCUCUUAUAUUUGAAAUGAGUAGAAUUAUGCAUCAUGAACAUAAAUGCCAUGCUUGAACUCGUUGAACAAUAGUGUCAUAAAGGGGCACUUGAACCUAGCAAACUAUGAGAAUGCAACAUAGAGACAUAGCGAUAGGCCAUUGGGUAUCGACUAUAUUCCAUGUUUUAGACAUGAUGACAUAGUGAUAGGCCAUCGACACAGUUGACAUGUAUUCCAUAUUUUAGACAUGAGGACUUGAUGCUUGAGACGGACUGAUAUGCAUGCUUGCCAUUGUGCUCAUUCGCACAUGCUUGUGAGGGUCGCUCCCUACAAGCCGGCACUCCGGAGUUGGCCAUCGCGAUACGUUCGCCGUGCGGGAUUGGGCGCCGAAGUGGAUUGCUGUGGGAAAGGCUCAUUCCUAGGGUGGGGAUGUUGACUACCACGGGGCUAUUAGGCACGGUAAAGCCAGACAGCCUUCGGGUGGGUCUUAUGCCAGACAGCCUUCGGGUGGGUCUUAUCAAAGUUGAACUGUAAACAAUUAAAGUGAUAAGUGCACAUUGACUAGAAUAGUAAACAAUGACAUCUUUACUAUUUACAUCGUGGGCAUUGGAUUAGUUGCAUACUUAUGCAUUUGCAUGUUGGAUACUCUUGUGCACAUACUUGUAGUAAUUGCCUUCUUACUUAUGCAAAUCAUGCUAAGUAGAGAUAUCAUGGUUGAAUAGUAUUCAUAUUUAUUUCCUAGUUGUUCUUAUCGCUUUGGCUUAUACUUGUACACUGACCCACUUUUGUAGUUUUGGGCCUAGUGGCGUAUUUCAAUGAAGUCAGUAAUUACCCACUGAAAACUAUUAUUUAAUAGUUCUCACGCCCCUGUUUCUAUAUGUUUUCCUUUCAGAGCCUUCGGCACCGGCGUAGGCACGGGAUCUCGGCAAGGGUGUCGCGUAGCUAGCUCGGGAGAGAGUCCGUUUUGCGAUAGGUGGUUCCUUCUUUUGUUUGUGUCAGAGAGAGGGAGAGUUUUGGCACCAUGUAUAGAGAGAUCACCUUGUAUUCAGAGUUGUACUUGCUUUGGGACUCCUUUUGUGUUAUCUUAUGUUUUACCUAGCGGAUUAUCAGUUUUAUGAUCUUCUUCUUGUUGUAGCAUCUCGUAGUUACUUUGCUCUGAUACUCCUAGAUGCUUUCUUGUAUUGUUUUAUUUACCGCUUUAUUUUAGACGCCUUAUAUGUUUUAGACGUACGGCGGGUAUGGACACGCGCCGGGCGGGCUUCCGCUGGGUCCCGGGGCGUGACAAGCUCAACCCCCACAUGCUUACAGGAACCGGUCCCCUCCCAGAGGGACCGGUCCCCGAGAGCACAAAACCUGCAACUUGUACAGAUUUUGCACAGCUUGCUCUCGCAGGUCCUUCUCAAUACACUUUUUGCAUUUUUAUCGCAUUCGGACUUUCCGAAGCAUACCAACUCAACAACAAGUCGAUUCUAAUCGAAGUUCAACUCUCGGAUUUUGAUAAUUCAUUUCCUUACAAGCAGCAAAUUAAUUUUUAAACAACAAAAUUUCUGUACCUGUGGGCAUAAGAAACUCAUUAUCUAGAAAUUCAAUCCACUAUCCUAUUCUAGUCAAAAUUCAAAAUUAUUAUUUAUUUGACUACAAUAAAUAAUCAAACUUUAAUUAAAAAGUCAAACUUUAAUUCAAUGUCAGUAAAUUCUUAUACAUUCAUCAUUAUUUAUAGCAUGCUACCUUAUUUGACAUUGAAUGACUAUUAAAAUUGAAUUAGGAAUCUGUACGAAUUUUCGGGUUAAAGUUAGUUCACUAUCAUCUUAUAAAAAUACCGUAAGUGAUCACAUGCCAUGACUAGGAUGCGGUGGCUAUUUCUGGACAUAGUUGAUCUCAUAAAUCCUUAUAUGAUAUUGAAUGACUGAAAAUUUCAUGUUAUUCCAAAAUGCAGUGAAAAAAAAUAAAAGUCCAAAAUAAUUUUCUUAACAACUUUAUGUGGCUCAAAUUUAUAAACUGUGUGAAGUCUAUAUACCCUACUCUAAUUUUUAUGAUGAUCUUAUAUAUGUUUAGAAUAAUAACAUAACAAAAUUGUAUCGCAAAAUAUUAAUCUAAACAUACUACUUUAUAAUCUAAAUUAGCAUACGAGUAGAAUAAAAAUCAUAUAAGACAAAUACCAAACAUUAUAUANUAGCUCAUACCGGGAGAGGAGAACCGUCGAUCCCGUUGAAUCACUACCGGGAGAGGAGAACCGUCAAUCCCGUAGUUCCGAUUCACUUGUUUCAUGGCAUACCGGGAGAGGAGAACCGUCGAUCCCGUUGAAUCACUACCGGGAGAGGAGAACCGUCAAUCCCGUAGUUAUGAUUCUAUUCUUGCCAUCACACCAUUCCUAGGAAUUCCGGAAUCCACUUUCACAACUUAAGGGUUUUACUCUUUUACUCUAUGUUGACGACCUUUCUAGGUCUAUACUAUUCACUUUCUAGUGGUCCUAUUACCACUAUAAUUCAUAACUUAGUUUACUUUUACUGAGUGUUUCUUUACAUUAUAACCUAGGUUCAUUUACACCAGGUUUAAUAUUCUCUCUCCUAGAUCUCAACUCUAGGUUUAUUUGCUUGACCUAUGUCCAAUGACACUAGGUUAAUGUCCGACCUAGGUUCAAUAACACUAGGUUCAUUUCAUGUCCAACCUAUGUUUAGCAACACUAGGUUUAUGCCACUCGAUCUAUACAAUGACCAACCUAGGUUUAAUAACUUAGGUUUCAUGCCACUCGAUCUAUAUAUCACCCGAGGUAUCCUUGCCUAGGUUCACAAUUCACAUGUUUUCAUGUAGCUUGUUACCGCUGAGGUUUCUAAUCAACGAGAAUUAUCGACAUUCAUAUAGCUUGAACUAUGGUACAUUCAUUUUCAUAUAUGUUUAGAUAUAUACAUCAGAUGUCGACAAUUAUGUAUGCUUUAGCAUCUAUGUUCACAUUUCAUAUUCACCUUACAUGCCCCUGACAUUUACAGGUUCAACUUUUAUAUAUCAUAUAGUUGCUCAUAAGAAUUUAGCAUAACUAUGCAUCUAGCUUUCACGUUCAUAUAUCGACAAUUAUAUGUAUGUAUUCUUAGGUCUCUCGCAUUCACUUUCAUAUAUGUUUAGCCCUUUGCAACUAGCAUUUACAAUUCACGUAUUCAUAUUCAUAUGAUAACUAUUAGAGAUCAUCUACGCUAAUAUUCACAUGUCAACAAUCAUAUUCAUAUAUGCGUCAAAUGAAACCAUACUUUACUUUGACAUGGGAAGCGACCUAAUCGCUUCGGUAAGCACAACCCACCUUUACUUGAUACUGGAAUGCGAGAAAUCCGCUUCUCGCACUUUCCAGAGAACCGCGACCCGCGCUCUUGACAAUUGUAGUCGAAAAUGCUCUUUUGGCGAUAUCUUCGCGUAGGCUCGACGGAUUGCCGAACCGACUUCGCCAACGCGUUUGUUUUACCCCCAAUUAGGUUGUACGCGGUCAAUUUCACAUUAGGACUUCUAUCCUGCAAAAGUGCAUUAUUGAGGUCAGUUCAAUAUAACUUCUUUUACACGAGUUCCAUACAAAUUUAUAGAGCAAUUCAACUUCAACCAUUAAUCUAAGAACCCCAUAACCAGCUAAUCUAGGAAUACAAGAGAUCCACUUUAGCUAUAACAUCAUUCCUACAAUUUUCAUAUACAACCCAAGUUUACUUGCACGUUGUUAGCAUAUUAUAGUUUCUAAUGUUAUAUAGCAUCUACAAGCUUUAGCCUCUAAUAGAUGUAAAUUCCUGUUAUAACUAUGCUCCUACAACUCUAUUUUUUUAGACCAAUUAUGCCACAUAUAUAGCAGCCCAAGUUCACAUAUAUGCUGUCAACAUAUAACUCUUCCACUAGGUUUUGAUAACACAUACAAGUUUUUUGUAGAAUUCAAAACCCCAAGUUAGAUCCCUUUCUUAGGUUAAAUACCACAAAUCAUAAUCAGGAAUUAUGACUAACCUGUCUCAAAUUACCUCUUUAACAAACAAUUCACUUGCAUACUAUUCCAUCUUUAUAGCUGGUUAUAGGUUCUUCAUGGCAUGUAGAAGAUAUAGCAACCAUAAUCUAUAGUUUAGACCCUUUUUUUUUUUUCUUUAGACCAAUUAACCUAACCCAAAAUCAGGAAUUACAAAAUAACCGGCAGGAUAGCUACUUAGUUCCCAGCUGCCAAUAUUCAUACAUAAUACACAUGGCUUCUUACAUAGCAUCUACACUCUUUAACAACCAAAAUCCAUAGUUUAAACCUUUUUAAUUUCAGCACAAAUCCAUCAAAAUGACUUCUCCUAAGAUCCACCAUAAAAAUUCAUCAAAAGAUCUGAUUUGAAAUUAUAAUAAUAAAAUGCUAACUUCGCAGUCGAAGCGCCGAAAAAAUCCAACGCGCGCGGGGGAUCGAUCGGCUCGUCGAACGGCACCAAUUUCAUCACUUUCUUCUUCUUCUUCUUCUUUUUUUCUUUUUCCUUUUCUCUUCCUUUCCCUUUCUCUAUCAUGCGUACAGGGAGAGGAUAAGAAUGAAGGUCUCCUGGCAGCUUAGUGGAAACCCACUAAGCAAUGUAACAAUUGCCUUUAGGUCCACAAGUCAUCAAUAUUAUCACUUCAGUCUAGUUCUAGUCUGAUAUAUUUAAUUGGAGCUCUUAUGAAUGUCCGAUUGAGUUCAAAUUUGACAGGAAUGCUCGUUUUUACUUCAUAAGUCCACUGAAAUUUUAACAUUUCAGUUUCGACCCCUUUUGGUUACGGCGAACUGUCCCGAACUGUAAUCUUUAUCAGAUAACUUCCAGAUACUAUUUCUCUCUCUACAGGUGUCAGAAAAAUAUGAAACUUCAAAUCUAGACUCAUAAUAACGUUCCUGACAUCUCUGCUAAUUUUCAUAAUUUUCUGACACUGUGCAUUUUUCUGCUAAUUUCUCAGUCUCGUUCUUUACAGAAAAUUCUACAUUUUCCGUUUUCACUCCGAUUUCUUCCAAACACUUCCAAAAUAUUCCAAGGGACCUUUACAAGCUACUAAUUUAAUUUGGAAGCAAUUCCUUUUCAUUUUGACAUUAUUUGAGCCGAAUUAGCAAUAGAAUUAGCUCAAAUUCCAUUACAUGGUAGCAAUUUCUCCUUUUUGCACUACCACUUUGUACUGAACACUUCAAAACCCUUUGAAAACACACUCCUGGUUUUUUCAAAGCUUCACAAUUGAUUCGGAGAUACCACAAUUUAUCCUCACGCCUUACUUUAAUUCUUUUAAUCAAAGUUAGCGUCGGAACUCCGAAAAUUCUCUUUAUAUUUCAUUUCGCGCCCAAUUUGCGCCGAAACACUUAUUUAUCUCCAGAAUUCAUUCACACGCAUCACAAAUCACUCGAAGAUGAUGUCCAACUAGCUCAAUCCUCACUUUGACCCUCUAGGUCAAAGUUGACAUCGCAACUCCAAGUUUCCAUAUGUUACACGAUCUAUGUCAUAGUGUCACUUUGUUCUUUUGCUUACUUUGGGUGCUCACUUUCUCUCUCAUGCAUACACAUAGGGUUUUCGACAUUUAUAAGGUUCUCAACCAUAACAUUAGGCACGUUGUACUCACAAUCAUGCAAUCAUCACAUUUUAUCAUUACUUUACCCUAAAAUGCAUGCAACAAUAUAGGUGUAUAUGCUCAAUCGAAUGAUACAUUAGGCAUAGAGGGAAGUUCAAUAAGUUUGAGAAGCACCACCCACCUUGUAGGUCUAUCUAGGUGUAAGAUAUCGAAAUUCGACGAAAACGGCUAACUUUGGCACAAUGGACCAAAGUAGGCAAUUGAACGAUUUGGACAAGUUCCAUUCGGCAUUCCAACAAGUUUGGAAGAGUAAUAAUGAGUUCCAAAAGUGUUGGAAUAGUUCUAGCGUUGUUGGACGCGAAAAGAAAUCGAAACAGAUCGAAAAACAGCUUUCUGGAGCUGGUGUACCGGUACACGCAUGAUGGCUGUACCGGUACAGCCAUUGCUGCCAGGCUGCGCAGCCCUCGGGUUUGCUCUCGGGUUUGGCCGUUACGCAGGGCGCGUACCGGUACGCAAACCCGUGUACCGGUACACGAGCGCGCAGCAGCGGGUUAAGUUGCAAAAUCUGAUAAAAGGAGGGCUUUUUAGCAUUUUGUUACAAUAGAGGACUUAACCCUCAUGCCCUCAGCUCUCUCCUCUCUCACUCCCACAGCCCCUCUCUCUCUCUAGCUCUCUCUCUCUCUCUAACCGGUUGGGAGAAAAGAAGAAGAAGAAAAAGAGAAGGAAAAAGAAGGAAAAAGAGAGGAAGAAAAGGAAGGAGAAGAAGGAGAAGAAGGUUUUGAAGCCCUUCUUCAUCUCGUUUUUGACCUAGGGCUUGCUUUGGAGCAAACCCUAGAGGUAAGCCUCAACCCCUUUCAUGGUAACUUGUGAUUUCUAGGGUUUGGAUGGUUUUUGUUGCUUUUGAUGGUUCAAAUGGAACCUAAUGAGCUUAGAGAACAUGGAUUUAGCUCACAUUGAAGCUAUAAUCCAUAACCUCUCAUGGAUCCUAACCCUAGGGUUAGAUUUUGGGGAUUUUGUAAAUAGUGAGGUUUGAUCUCUUUUGAGGGGUUAGAAAUCUAAUUGCUAUGCUUAUAAACGCGUAGGCGAAGACGGUUCGUUGAUCCGACGAGUGAGCGCGAAGAUAUCGCCAAUUGACGCGCUAAGGGGUUAAAGCUAACCCAACGAAAAAUUAAGCGGCGACAAGACUAGCACGAGAACGCGUCUCGGAGUGUUUUCGGUAUCACCCAAGGUGGGGGAGUGCCAUCCCGAAGUCAUCGGGCCACCUUCUAUGUCUAAGUUUAACAAUGAUCUCUUUGCAUAUUGUGCAUGUUCUUAUAGGGUUAAAGAUUUAGUAUGUUGCUUAAUUUGCAUGCUAGUAGCUAUAGAUAUGGUUGAUUGAAUGAUUUAUAAACUAGUAUGCAUGAGAUUAAAUGAUAGAGUUUGAUGAUGAGAUUUAACCCUAUAUGAGAUGAUUAUGCUUACGUUGCUAAAGAACUAGUAUGAUGAGACUAGUGUUGAUAAUGAGUCAAAUUGACGAGUGGCAUCUAGUUUAGAAAACUAUGACAAGUGGCAUCUAGUUAGAAAAACUAUGAUGAAUGACAUUGUUGAUGUUUCCUUGAGAUGAUCACAUUAGUGUAGUUGAGACACUAUGAGAUUGGGUACAUGUAUACCUUACUUCCAUGAUGAUAUUACCCUCAAAGGGGUUGUUGUUGUUGCUCGUGAGAUGAUCUUGCUCACAUUGCCUGUCUGCGCUUGGUGGGGUCGCUCCCCCCAGGUUGUGCGCUCCGGAGUUUGGUCACUAGAGAGGCAGCCCUGCUUGCUGCUCGGAUAGCCGCUUGUUAUCCGCAGGCGUACUCGGGGAUAGUCCAGCUCGACAUCCCUAGGAGAUUGAUAUGUGAGUCUUGCUUGUGGACCUCGUGUUCACUUGGAGAUUGGGUUACCCAUUGAGUCUUACCCAUGAUUGAUGUUCAUAGUAGCUAUUCAUUGUUCAUAUCAGCUUACUUGCUUACCUAGUAGCAUGUUUUAUAGUUACUAUGAUAGCUGUUGUAGAUGUGGAUAGUUGCUUACCUACCCAGCUUGUUUAUUGUUCAUGCAUUCAUGAUUCCAGAUUGAGGCAUAGCUUGAUAUAGUUGUUUACAUACCGCUUUUAGUUUCGCUCAGUUUUAUAUGUAUAUUGCAUAUAUAUCUCUCUAUGCCUGCUUGAGACCUAGUGGGUAGAUCGGUGGAGUCGGCGACCGAACCCACUGGGAACUAUUCGUAGUUCUCACCCCCGUGUUGUUUUGGGGGUACAGGUGCACAGGACAGCGGGCCGUCGUCGAUGGAUCGUGGUAAGGGUAUAGCGCCCUAGCUUUGGUAGAUAGCUUCCUCUACCCACUUGCAUUAGUUUUAUACCCUGUACUUUUGAUUAUGCUUUGAGAGUAGAUGAUGUAUAGGGUGAGGUUUUGGAGAGUUUAUGAUGUAUAUUCAUUUGGAAAAAGAAUGCAAGUUGUAUUAAAUGUUUAAAGUUUGAAUGAUAUCGAAAGAGGUUUGAUGUUUCAAAUAUGUGUAAAUAGUUAAGUUUCUCUCUUUGUAUACUUGUAUGAUUUUACUUGUAUCGCUUGCUCUAGUUGGUUAUAGCACUGUUUGUGCUUUCGUUUCGUUGUUGAUUGUGUAUGAAUGCAAGUUGUUUUCUUGGGGACUUGUUGUACACAAUCCGUUGCUUAGCCUUGGGCGGACAGGGGAGACUCUGUCCGUUCGGCGGUCGCGCACGCCGCCCUCGAAUCGGACCAAAUUGGUACCGUUUUCGGGUGGUGCGGUCUGGGGCGUGACAUAUAGUCACUAGUAUCCCAAAGAUCUAGUUCUAGUCAUAAUGUGAAGUCCCAACACACACUUGCUUAGUGCCUCUUUAUGACACUUAAGCUCCACAACUAAUCAUAAUCCAAUUAAGACAUUAACAUUAAUGCUCACUAUGCCCCGGGCCCCAAUGUCUCUUCAUGACAUUGGCCCAAUCUCACAUAUUAUCUAAGUCCCUAAGCCUCUNAUAUAUAUAUAUAUAUAUAUAUAAUUGAGCUAGAAUAUUUUUAGAAACACCAACCCGUUGGUGCUUCUAAGUUUUUAACCCUUGGAUCUACUUCUUAAUUACUAAUACACAUUGGAUCAAACAAUAUUCCACCUACCACCAGUCCACUAUCAUCUCAACCUAUAUCUCUCCAUCAAACGGUUAAAAACUCAAAAGCACCACCCCCUUAAUACUUUUUGAGAGUAUUCUAUCUUAACUAUAUAUAUAUAUAUAUAUAUAUNGAAGGCGGCGAAGUCUACGGCUAGCUAAGGCGGUGGACGAUUCACCGUCUUUGUUUAGACGGUAAACGAGUCACCGUCUUCUCGUCGAAUUACUACAAAGGCACUGAUACGCGGGGAAUUGCUGAGAAGGUGGUGAAGGGUCAACGCCUAGAGAAGACGGUUAACCAUCUACCGUCUUCAUGAGAAUUCGCAUAGACGGUGAACGAUUCACCGUCUUUACGAGAAAAAUCCCACCUAGCGCCAACGUAGCGAAAGGAGAGUUAGUUUUACAAAUAAAAUUUUCAGAGGGUUAUUUUGCCAAUUACAAAAUUCCAUAGGGUUAUUUUCGAAAAAAGUCCGUUAUAGACGGUGAUGCCGUUUUUUCCAAUGCCGAUCUCGAUUGAAGCUGGCCAACCUCAUCACUAACAAAAACCAGUCAAUAAAUUUAUUUAUCUAUUUAUUUAUUUAAUAAAAUAAAUAAACAAAAUUUAUAGAAAGAAACGAAAAUCUAGUAAAAAAUGCGGCUUUCAAUAUCCGAAUUAUAAAUGAAACUUUAUUAGAAACUAAUAUCGUACUUUCUGGCAUAAUUUUGAUUUCAAUAUCCGAAUUAUAAAUGACUAUUCUUUCUCGUGGUUCGUUCUCGCUUGUGAUCUGUAAAAGAAUGGGACGUUUCGAGUCUAAUCCUUUAUCCUUAGAAAUAGAGCCAUCAUAAAAAAUUGAAUUAGGGUUAGAUCAGGACUCCCGUAUAUUACAUAUUUAUAUAUAUUUGAUGCAAGAAUGUUAAAUCACGUCCGUUCAUUAAGAACAUGUCCAAAUACAUUCUGACCAUUUGAUCUAUUGUAUUUUUAUAAAUCGACUUAAAUAGACCGACUAUAUUUUUAUAGAUCAUUUUGAAUAAAUUACGUAAGUCACAUCAAAUAUACAUAUCUUUUUUUUAUAUAGAGGGUGAUCAUUUAUCACUAUGCUUAAUUUUACACAUGCACAAAAAAAAAAAAAGAAAAAGAAAAGGAGAUAAUACAAAACAAAAUAUAAAACACAUGAUCCCCCGGUUUUUAACUCGUACCACACGAUCGGCUUCAACAAACCAAAAAAUUUAAAAGAAAUAAAUAAAAAGAAAAGAAUUCUCCCCUUUGUCACUCAUCAAAACACAUGAAAAGGAGGCAAUGAAAAUAGCGUAUAUAUAAUUAAUUUUUAAACGUAACACACUUUUUCUUUCCCGAAAUUAUAUAUCUAGAGGGAAAUUAAGGAGAAGCUCUCCUCUUCUAUAGUCUCCAACGUCGGCCUCCUCGACCGGCUCGCGCUCAUCCUGUACUUCAUCUCCCCCGCGGCAAUCGAAUCAUCGGUCUCGUAGUCCACUUUCGCUCUCAUUGCCGUCGUCGUCGUCGCCUCCUCCUGGGGCUGUAAUACACUGAACUUUUGCAAAUUGCGAAGUUCGAGUGUGUGGAAUGGUGUGUGGGUCACUCCUACAUGUUCUAAAAGGUUAGAACAAGUGUUGGGACAAGUUUGAGAGUGAUUGGAAUGCAAAAAAUAAGAAAAUGCAUUGACCUGCGAAAUCUCAGCAUUUUNUGGAUUUUGACUUUGAUUGGAUACUCGUUGUAUAUCGACUUGUACUUUGCUCUGAUAUCAGGAUAGGACUCUUUCGUUUUACUUCCUAUCGACUUACUUCUCGUAGACGCCUUAUAUACUGCAGGUGUAUGGCGGGUCUGUGCACGUGCCGGAUAUGCUUCCGCUGGUACCCGGGCGUGACAGGGGCGGAGACCCCGGAAGAACCCUCGCACUCCCGCCGGAGGCGCGGCGCGCCUCCAUGUCGGCCGCCAGAAGCAGUCGCGCCAUGUCGGGGGCGCCGACAACGGCGUUGAGCCUCUUCAUGGGCAGCAUCACGUAGACGUGGCCGAUCUCGAGGUCCUCAUCGGCCGCCAGCGCGGCGAGCCGCCGGCCGACCUGCAUGGCCCGUACGUCGGCGAGGAAGUGGCCCGGCGCGUCCAGCAUCAGCUCGGCGGCGGCAGCGCGUCCGUCGACUCGGCGGACGCACCCGUCGGGCAGGAUAACCUUCGUGGCGGGGCGGGCUUCUCCUGGGAUUGCACGGAGGCUGCAGGAGACGUAGUUGCCCAUGAAGAAUUAAGUAACUAGCUAGCUAGAACACGGAGAAAGGGAUCGAGGAGGUGAACGGAGGAGUUCAGGAUCGUGUGGUGAACGGAUUAAUUCGUAUGUGGGAGGAGUUCAAUUAUAGAAAGGGGAGUGCUGAGAGAUAGUCAGAUAGAUAACAUGAGACGCAGCGGGGAUGUGAUUAUACGCGUUAAGGGAGGGGGGAAAGGGAAGGACAGAGAAGGGAUCGGAUUACUGGAUCACGCGGGAGCAUCGGCGUUGGGUGGACGCUCGGCUGUUAAUACGUGUGGGGCCUACCACUCGUUUGUAGUUUUCGAGGAUGCCGAAGGGCGGUGAGCAGAGAGAAACACGAAUUAGAAAGAGAAAGUCAAAAAAUUACACUAGCCCUGAUCUUUCACUCAAAUUUAUUUUCAGCCUCAACUAAUUAUUAAUUUGAUUUGAAGUCAUUGUAUCGUAAACUUUAAGCAUUAGUCACGUUCUCUAUCUACACAUUUUAUUAUUAUAGCAUAAAUAAUUGCUACGCCUAAAUGUAUUUAUGCAUCUAAGCACACGUAUUUAUUUACUGUUUUUAUAUUACAUGUUUCUACCCUAUUAUUAAAUUAAAAACAUAGAUUUCUUAAGUACAAAUAUGAGAUGGGCGAACAAGCAUUUGAACAAGAUGCGAGCAAUAUUUUAUAAUUGAGGGACUAAAUUAAAAUAUUUUAAAAACUUUAAGGAUUAAAAUCAAACUGAAAAUAGAUUUUUGAAUGUCGAGAUGGAAAGCUUGACGACCAAAAUGAACUUGAUUCAAUGUUCGUGGACUAGUAGUGCAAUUUUCCCAUUCGUUCUUUUUGGAUAAUAUAUGCAGUAAUUUGCAGUUUAUAUUACUUACUACUAAUUAACUCAUACGUCAUACAACUGAGCUGAUAAACUGAACUGAUCGGGCCAAACAAAAUUUCCAGAUUUAGUUCGGUUCGUUUUUGGUCUCUAUUUAAUUGGUUUUGAUUUAAAUUUUAAAGCUAAAUUUUUCAUUUGAUUUUAUUCUAUCUUGUAACUCAAAUCAAACUGAACGCUGCCCACUUAGGGGUAAAAAUGGAUUUCGAUACGUUCGGAUACUUUUUCAAACACGAAUAAGGAUUGUAUAAAUAUUCUGAUAUUAUUGGAAUAAUAAUAUAUACUAAUAUGUUCAUAUAAAUAUAAAUUAGGAUUAGUAAUAAUGAAACUAAAAUUUCACAUUUAUGUUCAAAUUUUAACAAACUUAUAUUUGAUUGAAUAAAAGUAAAGAUUUAACUAACAAAUGUACAAUUUUAUAUAAAAUUCAAAAUAAAAUCAACGAAGAAUAUAUAAGGACUACUUUUUCCUCAACUCCAUUUUAUCUAAUAGCGCUAGAUAGACCUCAAUAUCAAAUUAAGCCUAAAAAUAUAAGAAUUUUCUAGUAUAUAUGAUUAUAAGUAGGUAGGUAGAUUUUUUUUUUUACUUUUUGAAAUAUCUUGCUAUUCAUGAUUUAGUAAAAUAACAUAUUUUAUUUGCUAAAUAAUUUAUCUUAUUCUAAAAAAAUAAUUGAAGGCUGAAUAUAAUAUUCUAUCUUAAACUAUGAUUACACUUUCAUUGUCCAAAUAUAUAAAUUUCUCGAAUAAAUCAAGAGGAUACAUCGAACAAAAUAUUAAGACAUUCAAACGGUGCUUUAAAGUCAGAUGCUAAAGUUAUUAUCUAGCAACAAUUCAUUCUUAAGUAAUCCAGUCCACUGUUCCAAGCAAUUUUGAAAACGUGUAGUAUUAAAAGGAUGAUCCAUUGUCACCUCUGAUAUUAACAAUUUCGUUUUUCGAAAGCAUUGACUAUUGAAAGAGAAAAACUUACAAGGAAAAAAGAUCUUAGAGGGAAGCUUCGUUGGGGUUUUCCUUUUGCAAAGUCAAUUACGUUAUAACGUACAUAGUACAGGUACGUGUUCCAUCUGUAUGCAUGAACUUUGAAAAUGUGUAGGAAGUCAACGACUAUUUAUUCACACUUUGGCUUAGUAACAAAUAGAGCGUAGAUAAGUACUACAUGCGUGGCCAAGAACGGAUCAUUUUUGUUCGUCAACGUUGUUUUACUGACCAAAGCUUCAUACUGGUCAAGUCUAACUAAUUAAUGAUUGGAUAUAAUCAUAGAUUUUAUUUAACACUACAUACCUCUGGUUGGGGGUAAACAGAAAAUAAAAGAGUUUAGCCUUCUUAUUCUAUCAAAUUGGGUGAAGGAUCGAAAUUCCUCUCUUAACAUCAAGAAUACUCUGUCACGAGGGGAGAAUUACUAUUCUUAUUUCUGUCAUGCUCCAAGACCUGCUCAAUUGGCCAACUAAGGCUCGUGCAACAGACCCGCAAAGCAAACAAAACUUUUCCUAUCCUUAUGGAGCGAAAAUAUACACCACCUUAUUGUACGACAUAUACGAGAUAAGGAUAUAAUGAUGCACUAGCAACUAAACUUUUAAUUAAAAAUAUUACAAUUCUAACAAUAUUGAGUUUACCAUACAUUUACUCUAAAAUAUUAUAUAGCGUUGUUUAUGUUGGAUUUUAUCCAAUGAUAAAUUUUGAUGAUAACAAACAAAUUUUGGAUUUAAUUUGUUACUUAGCAAUUUCAGGUUGAAUUUAAAGUGGCUCAAGCUGAAUCGCAAUUGAUCAAAGCUAACCAUUCAAUCAAAUUGUUCAAAUUGGUCCGGACAAGAUCAACUUGUACCAAAUUGGAUGCAAAUGCCACAACAAUAAUCUGGAGGACUACUUCUUUACAAUUUAUCAGAUAUGAGCCGGUCAACCUAGUCAAGUUGACCAAUUCACCUUUUGGAUUUGAUUUAAGCUUAAUGACAAAUUAGCCAUUAUUUUAAUAUGGUAUGAAAGUGAUUUUAUGUAUGAUAUAAAUUCUAAAUUGAUUUUAUUAUGGUAAAAUACGAAAUAUGAUAUAAAUGAAUUUUAUAUGUAUGGUAUUAUUUCAAAAGCUUUUACAAAUGUGGAAUGAAUUCAAAAAGUUUUUCAUUUGUAGUAUUAAUUUAAAAGAAUUUUACAAAUUUUGCAUAAUUUCAAAUGAAUUUUUCAAUAUAGUAAUAUUUCGAAUGAGUUUUGCAAAUGUGGUAUGAAUUUGAAUUUAUUUGGAAUUAAUUCAAAUGGAUUUGCAAAUAUAGUUAAAAUUCAAAUUAAAAUUAAUUAUGAUUUAAUUAUAUUUUUGUUCCAUUUUUGAAAUGAUGGCUAGUAUAUUUAAAGGGGGGUUUUUGUGAUACAACUUCAGAAAAAUUCUUUAAGUCCUAAUUGUUCAUUGAUUUAUAAUUGUGAGCUUCAUUGAGAGGUUGUAAAAGAAGUUUUAUGUGAUUAUAAGCGGUUUUGGUCUUAUCCUGUUCAAAUGGCCAAAUGAUAGUGAAAUCGAUACCACGAGGAGAAGAAGGACCGGACUGGAGUAGGCAGAAAGGCCGAACCAAGAUAAAUCAUCUGCGUUAUCUGAGUUUGAUUUUCUUUUUUAUUUGGUUGUGCAAUUUUUAUCUUGAUUUAAUUUUACUUGAGUUUUUAGUUGUCAACUAAUUCACCCCCCUCUUAGUUGCCAUUUGAUCCUUCAGUUUAUACAAAAUGGGUACGUCUAAACUAAUUAGCAAUGGUUUAUCUAACUCGUGACGCUCUUACCACAAUCAUUCGUCUCACUGGAAGAGGAUGACUCUAAGGGCCCGUUUGGUUCAAGUUAUAUAAUAUUACAGAGUAUUUCGAUAUAUCCAGGUAUCGUGGAUUUCUAAAAUAGAUUACUACUUAUGCUGUAUUAGCGUGUUUGGUUUAAUACAGUAAUGUAAUGUUGGAUUGCAGUGGUUAUAGCAUUGAUAUGUUUGGUUCUGUCUAUAAAAUUCAAUAAUGUAGACAAUAAAGUAUAGUCAAUUCCAAAAUUUUCCUUAACCAUAUUUUGUAAACUUUUUUUUACUGUUCACAAAUAAUAUUAUUUUAGUAAUUUUAUUUUAAAUAAUUUAAUUUUUUAAAAUUUAAAAUUUAAAAUUUAAAAUUUAAAAUUUGAAAUUUGAAAUUUGAAAUUUGAAAUUUAAAAUUCAAAAUUCAAAAUUUAAAAUUUAAUAAUGUAGAAUUACCGGGAGUUAGAGGGGUAAAAUUAUCAUUUUACAUAAUAUGUAGAAUUACCGGUUUUUAAUAAUGCAAGAUACACGACCCCCUCUCGUUAAUAUUUUCGAUGUAAUUCUGCUCGAUUUGUAAUGCUACAUUAACGACUAAAUUACAUAACGGAUUAACCAAACACAGUAAUCCUGGCAGGAUUGCCUGUAAUCUUGCCAGGAUAACUCGAACCAAACGCACCCUAAAAAAUAAUUGUUGGGGAAUAUGAAUAGAGAUCAAGUAAAGUCUUGAGGCGUGUAAGUUCACUUUCUUUAAGGUGAUAUUUGCCCCCACUCGAGUGUAUGCUGUCGAGUUACCAGCAAAUCACCUCCAGGAUACAGCAAAACUGCCGAAAGACUGCAAACAAUAUUUUUGAAAACUUUUCCUUAAGAACUUAUCUCUUAAAAAUCAGUAUGAAAAAUUUGGAAGGAGAAAGGAUUGAUUAUAUAUAUUUUAUCCUUGAAGCCUUCAAACAUCUCCUAUUUAUAUAUAGGAGCUGAAUGGUUAUGUGAAAGGACACAACAUUCAAAGUUAUAUCCUUUUAUAAAAGGACAUGUCCUUUCACGAAUAGUGAAAAGGCAUAUCUUUUCGCAAAUGAAAAAACAUAUUCUUUCACAAAGGGUUUAUCCUUUUGUGAAGAAAUGUGUCUCUUCGUAAAAAGAUACAUCUCUUUGCAUGAAAUAAAAAGACAUAUCUUAUUAUAAGAAUAAGUAAUUCAUCAAAGAGACAUAACCAUUCAUUUGAUCUUAAUUUUAAUUCUUCAACUUAUUUUCUCACAUCUAUUAUUACAAUUUACACUAACAAUCCCCUACUAGAUUGUAAUGCUGAUUUAGAAAUAAACUUAUGCAUAUAAGAAGGUGUCUUUUGAUUAAACCUUCAAUUAGUGUAAUUAUCUCAAAAUUCCAACAAAAUCAAUGGUGACCAAGGCUUAAACAAAGAUUCUUUAUAUUAGAAUUGGAAAUAACAUACACAUAUAUAUAUAAGCUUAAUUGAAAAGUUUACCGAAUAGGUUUAGCACCUUUAUGGCCAUGUGCUACCUCCUGAUUUCAUGAGCAUUUACAAAAGUAAGCCCUAAAGUUUUGCCAGAAGCGGCGCCACUUUUUAUGCUCAUAUAGAUGAAGUUCCUUUUCUACUGUCUUUGUUACUAUAGGCAUCAAAUAAACUUGAACUUCAUUAUAUUAAGAGUAUCAUUACUCAUCCUUUAAUUCCACAGUAUACACUGGAUAUUUAAACGACAUUCCUAGUGUAUUGUCAGUCACUUAUCAAUAACUUGUGUUUACCCAUUAAACCAUUUCACUAAUAAUGUAACUAGAUAAGUUGGGUUCACAUUAUUGGUGACUUUUCAAAGAAAGGCUUCAAACCUAAUCCAACUGAUGUAGAUUUUACUAUAUCUCUCAAGAGUCCUUUUGUGAAAGGAUAUGCUAAAUUACUGCAUGACUUCACAUAUAUAAUAGUAAUUAUUUUUCUUUUAUCAAUUCUUUAAUAUAGAUGAGCCUUAAACUUAUAUCUAUAGACUUACCAUUAUAUACUUGACUGAGUGCUCUAAACAUUGUUGUUUAACUAUCAUAGUGCAAAGAAAUGGGUGGCAUCGGUUGUGGCUACAAUUUUAUAUCAAAUAGUAAAUUUUUCAGCCACUUUGCUUUUUUGCCUGCAACUGUCAAUGCUAUAAAUUCAGAUUCCGUUGUAGAAUGUGUUACACACGUCUGUUUCUUUGAAGCCCAGGAGAUUGCUCUAUAUAUCUCGAGAGUUCUUUUGUGAAAGGGUUUGCUAAAUUACUGCAUGACCUCACAUGUAUAAUAGUAAUUAUUUCUUCUUUUAUCAAUUAUUUAAUAUAGUCAUGCAUGCCUUAAACUUAUAUGUCUAGACUUGCCAUUAUAUACCUAGCUGAGUGCCCUAGACAUUGUUGCUUGACUAUCACAGUGCGAAGAAAUGGGCAGCGUCGGUUGUGGUCAUAAUUUUAUAUCAAACAGUAAAUUUUUCAGCCACUCCGCUUCUUUGCCUGUAGCUGCCAAUGCUAUAAAUUCAGAUUCCAUUAUAAAAUGUGUUACACACAUCUGUUUUUUGGAAGCCCAGGAGAUUGCUUCACCUCCUAAAAUAAAUACCCAUCCAAAUGUAGAUUUAUUAUCACUUAAGCUAGUUAUCCAACUAGCAUCAGUAAAACUUUCUAGCAAUGCUCUUUUAUGAUAUCCAAACCACCGGCCCAAAGUUUUUAGUUCUUUUAUGAUAUCCAAAAGCUCUACUUACAGCCUUCCAAUUGUGACACCCCAGUAGUCCCACAUCGGGUAGUAUGGCUAGAUGUGGGAGUAUAUAAACUUGAUUUGUCUAUAUAUAAUAACUGGGCUUAAGCAUUUUCGGCCGGUGGUUUGGACCCAACGAGUUAUUAUUGCUAGCGGGUCGAGUCGUUACAUUUGGUAUCAGAGCCAGUUCACCAGCUGAAAGUGUGAGAUGAAUCUUGGCUGAGCUAGGUUUGGAAUGAUAGACUGAGCCAGGGUCGGUGAUUGUCAGGCUAAGUCAGGGAUGGAAUGACAAAGGCUAGCUAGACAAGUGUCAUAUCGCCUGGUGAUCUUGGGAUGUGUGUGUGUUUAGGGCUGACGAGGAUGUCAGGGCCUAAACGGAGGGAGUCUGUGACACCCCAAUAGUCCCACAUCGAGUAGUUAUGGCUAGAUGUGGGAGUAUAUAAACUCGAUUGGGCUAGAAAUAAUAACUGAGCUUAAGCAUUUUGGGCCGGUGGUUUGGGCCCAACGAGUUAUUAUUGCUAGCGGGUCGGGUUGUUACACCAAUGAUCAGUACUAGAAUUACUUGUAUAUCUAGAAAGUUUGCAAACAACAAAUGCGAUAUCUGGUCUAGUGCAAUGCGCUCCAUACAUGCAUUUGCAUAUUCUAUUUGAGCAAUCGCUCUUCCAGGAUUUUCGACUAAUUUAACAGAAACAUCAUAUAUUGUACUUCCUUAUUCUAUUUGAGCAAUUGCUCUUCCAAGAUUUUUGACUAAUUUAACAAAAAUAUUAUAUAGGGUACUUACUACUUUGAUUCCUAAGGCUGUGUUUGGUUCGGAUAUAAGCAAGAAUUGUUUAUUACAGGGAUAGGUACAAGUUCAGAUAUAAGCAAAAACUAGAUCAAUUUUGCGUAGAUUGUUCAUAGAAAUAAGGUAAAUAGCAUUUGGAUAGCUAGAUUGGAACAAGAGGAAUAAGAGUUAUAAUUUGAAAUUAAAAUCAUAUUAUCUAAUUAAUUAACAUCAAAACAUUACUUAAAAUAAAUAAUAAAUAAAUUAUUAAUAAUUAAUAUAAAUAAUAAUAAUUAUUUAUUAUUAAUAAUUAAUUAUAAAUAAUAAAAUAAUAAUAUCGAUUAUCUAAUAAUUAAUAAUAAUUAUUAUAAAAAAUUAAUAACAAUUAAUUAAUAAUAAUAAAGUAAUAAUAAUAUCGAUUAUCUAAUUAUUAAGAAUAAUUAUUAUUAAUAAUUAUUAUCUAAUUAUUAAUAAUUAAUUAUAAAUAUUAAAUUAAUUAAUUAUUUUAUUAUUUAAAUAAUAAAUAAUAAUUUAAAUAUAUUUAUUAGAUUAAUUAAUGAUUUACUAUCAUUAAAAUUAAAUUUAGACUUUAAUUAAGCUUGUUCUCAUCCGAAAAUAAGCAUGUUCCAGGAAAAGGGUGGAACAACAGUUUUAGCUUUAUACCAGCUUAUUUCAGGAAUUCGGAAACUAUUGUUCUUGGGAACCAAACGCGGCGUUUGGGAACAAAGAGAGAAACAAGGGCUUAUUCCCCCCUUAUUCGCGAACCAAAUGCUACCUAAAUGAUUAUAGUUUAAAAUCAUUUUCUUGAUGUAAUGCAUCUGAGAUAAAGCAUAACCUCCACUGUGUUUCUUCACUUUUAUUCCUAAGAUAAUAUCUACUUCAUUUAAAUCUUUCAUUUUGAAUAUUGUCAUGCCCCGGGGCCUAAAAUAGUGCCUUUUUACAAAUCAAAGUAGCGAAUUUUUUUUUUCUUUUUGAAACUACCUGGCCCACGUGAUGUACAGACCUGCCACAAAUACAAAGUUCCUCUGCCCAUGCGGACAGAGUCUCUUUUGUAUUUGCACGGUGUACCCAACCACAAUAUCAAUAGGAUAACAACAUACAACCUAUAUUCACUAAUCCACAAGCAAUUGAUGUGAUACAAUUCCAUACAACUAGCCAUCCUUUAAGAUGAUGUAUGCCUCUAAUUACUCCUUAGGCACUAGAUGAUGUGAUACACAAUACAACAAUCAUCCUAUUUAAAAGUGCUCCCCACCCAAAAGUUUUUUUUUAAACUCUAAUUGUUUAUCCAUAAAAAUAUUUUGAAAACCUUUUAAAACUAUGUCCCACACAGAAACUCAAUCUUUGAAAAGCCAGCUACCAUAAGGGGUAGAAAACCACGUACGAUAAAACCAUCAACCACACAUCUCAGACAAACCAUGGCUAUCACAUUGCAUUAUUAAGAAACCACAAGUAUUCAUAAUACUCAAAAACCACCAAGUCCGACAAUCAAACAAGCAAAUAACUAAACCACAUAAACUCUAGUUUAUUAACCAACAUGAAGAGGAGUGAGAUUUUUGACAGUGCUACUAAACUCUCUGUUGAUGAUGUUUAUAUGUGUAAUUUAAUUACAUAAGUACUCGUCAAGUUUCGGGCGAAAAUGAGCUAAAAUGGAGUAGAUACGCGACUUUUAGUUUUCACUUAAGUGAAUAGUAACUCCGGUUUUUCGGAGAAGCCACGGAGUAGAGUUGGCUUCUGGCAUGUAUCGGACUCCGUUCAUAUCAGUCCAAUAGCUCGUUUCGAUCGGUUCAGCUAUUCUGGAACCAAUGGCGCUGACGGAUUUCUGAUCUGAUGCACGGUUUUCGAGAAAAAGGAGUUUUACCGAAAAGGGGGUUUCCGCUCUUUGCUUUUCUGUGCAUUCUAAAGCUUCUCGUACUCCGUGCUUGUGACCUGGAGUAGGGUGAAGAAUGUUUCGAGUCCCUACUAGUAGUAGGGAAGUCAAUUUCUUAUGCGAAAGUUGGUUUAUUGGGUUACACAUUGGUAUGUGUGCGAUAUUUGGAUUAAUUGAGAGCGGAUGGGUUCCGUUGCGAAUCCGUGACCAUAUCUGACGAAAUAAGAUUGUAGUUUUGAUGCCCCCGACGUGCUGAAUGCAAUGGUGCUGUCGGAUCGAAAAUCCGACGAACGGAUCUCUGGUAAUUGCGAAGUUUUCGUUAAGAGGUCGAAGGUGGCAAUUCGGAAAAUUCGCGAAAGGCGCGACAUUUUAUGUAUCAAAUCGCGUGAGAUCGGACGUGGAGGUAUGUACGUGCAUAUUGUACGCCCUGGCAGGGGCUGAGGUUUAAAUAUUCUGGGUUAGAGGGGUUUUCUGCAAUUUGUCCUCUUGUAUAUAGUUAGCAUCUAGGGUUUCUUUGCACGAAACCCUAGAUCUAGCCGACCUUGCCUCCCAGCUGUGCCCGAACCAGCUUCAGCAGGUCCCUGCCCAACCUUGCGCGCACCCCGGCCGCCGGCAGGUGCCUCGGCCGCCAGAAAGCAUGAAUCCCGGCCACCCCUCCAACCUUCUCUCCCUACCAUCCCUGCCGUGGAACCAAUCUGGGUGACCAUAACCCUCGGGCACCACCUCUGGCAGCGGCCCCGACCUCUGCCGUCCCGCCGUGCCAGCCGCCGCCGUCCCCACGCGCCGCCGUCGCGGCCUGGGCACCCUACAGCCAAGCCUGACCUAGCUCAGGCCGAGCCUGGCCCCGCACCGCCUCCACGAGCCGCCGUCGCCUUUGGACGACUAUGCCGCCUUCCCCGGCGUCGUCACCGCCGGCCCCCACCGGUCCCGUGCUCCGCCGGCGCCGUUUUGGCCCCUGCAGCCACUUGCGGCCAAGUCGGGCCGAGCUUGGGUGAUCCCUGCCUCCCCGCGCCGCCACCGUUCCCCGCCAGCCGCGCGUCCUCCCACGGCCUCCGGCGACCUCCCGCUCGCCGCCGCUCGCCAUCCCGGCCGUCCCCGUGGACCGCCGGCCGCCGCUCCUCCAUCCUGCGGCCGCCCUGACCCGUGCGGGCCGUGGCCGAGUCCCCUCGUCUUCCAAGCGUCGCCGCCGCCCACUAACGGGAGCACCACCUCUCCCUUGGCCACCGCCGACAGACCGUCGUCAUCCCGACCUCCUCCGGCCGCCGCCUUGCCGCCGGUGCCCUUGAACCCGAGAGGAGCUAGGCGGGUUGGAUCUCCACCGCCGCGCCACCGGCUGCCGUCCACCGCCGGCCAGCACCUUCCCCGGACCCCUUCGACCUGCCGCCCCCUUUCCCGGCCGGAGCGCACGCCUUCCGACAGCCGCCGGCCAACCCUAGCUCUCCCCUGGCCGGUAAGCUUGUUUUCAGCCUUUCUGCGNCCCCUUGGCCACCGCCGACAGACCGUCGUCAUCCCGACCUCCUCCGGCCGCCGCCUUGCCGCCGGUGCCCUUGAACCCGAGAGGAGCUAGGCGGGUUGGAUCUCCACCGCCGCGCCACCGGCUGCCGUCCACCGCCGGCCAGCACCUUCCCCGGACCCCUUCGACCUGCCGCCCCCUUCCCCGGCCGGAGCGCACGCCUUCCGACAGCCGCCGGCCAACCCUAGCUCUCCCCUGGCCGGUAAGCUCGUUUUCAGCCUUUCUGCGCAGUGUUUCCUGUUCUACUCACUGUUCCGGCGACCUGAGGCUGUUCCGAUGCCUCCGGAGGUGAGCACGGUGAUCGUCAGUCAGUCCUGAUCACAGUGCUCACCUCACUUAGGGUCAACGAGUCCCUGGUUAGCGAGAUAAGCAUGCUUUUCCUACUGUGCGCGCUGUUUCACUAAUUUUGCGUCGCCCGUGCGCGUGCCACAGUGGCCGGCAGUGCUCCGAAAGGUGAGCACGGCCUCCGGCACGCCGAGACCAGUCAGCGGGAGUCUUGUCUUGGCUGUUUGACCUCUGGUUUGCGUUGUCGGACCAUAAAAGCGCCGAAAUCGCAUGAAAUAAUGCGAUUUCAGGUAUUCAGGAGGGCUUUUAUGCAUUUUGGUUCGUCGUAGCCGUUGUUGGCAGCAAGUGUUGGUUGAGGAUAACCUCUGGACUGAUUGUCCAAGGCCCCAGACCCUUGCGAAGAUCGAAAAUGCAUUUCCGGUGCGUUUUUCGGCGAAAUCCGCCGACGGAACGCGGGUUCGGUUCGGAAUUAUUCCGACGGUGCUUCGUGAGCUUUUGCGUAGUCGCUGAGCCUUGUUGGCUGGUCACUUACGUCAUUUCGUGAGUUCGGAAAUGACGGGUGAGCGACGGCGGGUUCCGGUGUCGAAUUAGACACUUCCGGGAACCCGAAUCGAAACGAUUAUCCGACGAUAAUUGUUUCGACACGAGGAGUUGUGUUCGCUGCCAUGAUGCAGGAUUAUUUAUGUUUAGUGGCAGCAGGUGACUCGUAGCUCAAGUCGGUAUGUUCCGGGACAGUUCGUGGCUCCCGGCGGAGUCCCCGUGCGAUUACGGGACUUCCGGCGUAUUACGGCGAUCGGUUUGGGAAACCGAUCUCCAUGGGUUUGCUUGUAGGCUGUGGUUUUAGUGGUUAUUAGCUGUGGGUCAGACACUAACCCGGUGGACCUUCCUUAGGUCCGGUUGACGUCCUUUUCAGUCAGGAGACAGGCGCAGCAUUUGUACAGGUGGGUACUUCGAUCCGAAGUCGGUACAGUGGUGCACGCUCGGUGAUAUUUCUUCUAUCCCCGUUCUUCUGUUGCUAUUUUCGUAUUAUACAUUGAGCUUGCAUCCCCGUUGUUUCUAUUAUACUCUACUCAUAUGUUUCUAUGCUUAGUAUCUUGUGUAGGAGUAGAGUAGUUUAUCCAUAUGUGAUACCGGUGACCUGAUUGGUCGGUUCUCGUACUUUGUUUCGGUGACCUAGUUGAUCGGUGCUUUUAUCUUAUAUCUGUUGACCUGGUUGGUCGGUCGUUGCAUUAUGUAUUGGGUUGGUCUGUUUCUUGACUUCUGUCGCUCGAUGACCUUUGAGGUCGGUGUACCCUGAGGGGUAGGAUUGUCGGCCAUGGCCGACGGUAGUUCUAGAUUAUAUACUCAGAUGACUUGUUGAUCGAUUCGUGCAUACAUACAGUAGUUGACCUAUUGAUCAGUAUCUACAUACUUUUGGUAGGAUGUUGAGUUGUUCCAUCCCAGUUGACUUGAUUAGUUAGUACUUGCAUACAGUUGAGAGGAUGUAGAGUCGUUCCAUCCUAGUUGACCUGAGUGGUCGGUUCUUGUGCUUCUUUAUAGUUUGAUUACCUAUUGGUCGGUUUGCCCCGAGGGGCGGUGAUUGUCGGCUGGUUGCCGACAUUUGGCUAUUGAUCAUAUCCGCAUUGAUCGCCACAGCUCGAGUGCAUUUCACGUACACCAGCGGGUUGAUCCCCCGCAGGAGGGUGGUUCCUUGUUCCCGGAAAAGUGGUCGUACAUCGACCCCGUGAGCCCAGCGGUGUUCUCUCUGUGCUAGGGUUACAUGCCAGGUGUGAGCAGGUAUGGUUUUUGCCUGAGGUCCUUAGACCCGGACACGGCGGUUUAGAUUGGGUACUUUUGGACUACUUGUCCGGUUGACGCCAUAUAGUUUAUAGUAGCGGUUGUUGCAUGUAUACUUGAAGUUCCUUCUUUUACACUUGUCUUUGGCUACAUAGUUUUGAUAUCCCUAUACGUAUGCUUUUCGUUCUAUUAUACGUAGCGGUAGUGUUUCUCCUCAUAUCUAUAUCUCAUUCGUCCAUUAUCCGUCUUGCUACUGUAUUUCACUUACCCAUAUACCAUUGUUUAUCUUCCUGAUCGGUGAGUACUCUCGCGCGCUCGUCGGCUUGCGGUAACCCAACUGGGAGGGAGAAAUGUUUACAUGUUCUCACCUCCCCAUUUUUCCAGGUAUUGCAGGCGUUGAGCUUUUGGGACUGACGUGAGGUUACCGUUCGUAAGCGGUCGAUAGAGCUUCCGGCCCCAGGUUUAUCGGUUUAGUUUUAUUCCUACUAUUCUGUUGUUAUAGCUUAGUCAGUUUAUAUGGUUCAGUAUUUUUUAUUACAUUGGAAUAUGUGGACUUUUCAUGAAUGUAAUAAAAGGAUUUCUGGAUUUUGGUAAAAUAAAAGGUUUUCUACCCCUCGUGGUAGCGUUUUAUACAAAGAUAAAGUUUUUCGCGUAUGGAGAACAGUUUUCAAAAGAUUUUUUCGUGGACUUUUGGUUUUAAAUAUCGAAUGUAAAACUACGGUGUGAAUGGUGAAUGUGUGAAUGUAUAGCUAUCUGUAUAUUCACUUAGUUGUGGUUGUAUACUGUUUGUACUUUUGUACCUUGUGCGACGCCGUGCAAAUACAGGGGAGACUCUGCCCGUGUGAACAGUGGAUUCCCCUGAAUUUGUGGCGGAUCGGCAUACUCUGGGCUCAGGUUUUCAAAAAAAAAAAUUUAAACGCUUUUUCGCUGUGUUUCAAAAUAAAAGGGGGACCCGGGGCGUGACCAAGGAGGGUCAAGACAUAAUAACCGUAAUCGAAAGAUGACUGGUUGGAACCUCUAUAGCUCACUAGCUAUCGUCUCACACACCGUGCCCGACUCCGACCACCGAGAUCACCGAGAAAAGUGGUUGGGGGGGGGGAGGGGGGGGGGAGGGCUGAGAAACAUGUAAACAUAUCUCCCUCCAAUUGGGUACCGCAAGCUGACGAAGGCGAGGCCUACUCACCAGCAAAGGAGGAACAACAGAUAGAUAUGUCACGCCCCGCCCGAAAUCGCUACCAAUUUUGGCACGAUUCCGGCCGCGUGACAGACCGGCCGAACAGACAGCACCUCCCUGUCCGCCAACGGCUCCACAACCGGAGAAUGUGUACAAGAAUUUACUCAGGACUUUAAACUCUAAACAUACACAUUCAACGAGGGCACAAACAGUGCCAACAACAAGAAGAGCAAGUAAUCCCCACAAGAUAUACGAGUGAAAUAAAGAGAGUACUUUACUAACUAUUACAAUAGUUCAUUCUUUACAUCAUUUUUUCAUCCAAAAUACAUAGCUGCUCCAAAUCCUCACCUAUAAUAAUCUCUCUCUCUAUACAUAGGUGACUAAUGCAAAAAGGAAAGCUACUACACUACCACCGGGCCUCACUGAUCGGGCGCGAUGCCUUUGCCGCGGUCCUCUCUCUGCAGCCCUGAACCUACCACUGGAAUAGAGUGGGGUGAGAACUAUCUUCCAUAAGUUCCAGUGGGCUCGGCCGCCGAUUCUGCCGAUCUCCCACUAGGUCCAAGUGGGCCACAAGUACAACAAAUAGCUAGAUAGAUAGUAUAGUAAUCUGAAAGCUGUAGAUGCAUUAGUAGGAAAUCUGCUACUAUGCCCAUAAUCAUAAAUAUGAAUGCAUGCAUCAUAUAAUAAAGAUUUGCUAUCAUGCUAACAAAUUCGAUCCCAUGUUCGAAUAGCAAUGUUCAAUGACAUUAAUAACCUUUCAUUUUACCCGGCAGAUCUGUGCGCGAGGCCCUAGGGCUCCGCCGCAUGACUCAUGUUCAAAUCCCAAAGUGGGGACGGGAAGCUUCCAGUGUGCACCCAAGCCCGGGACCGUCUGCGGACCUCCAUGUGGUCCGGACCUCCAAGUGGUCCUAGUCGCGCGACACUCCGGAGUACUCGACGACAAUCCCCUCCAUGUGGGGAUUGGAUGGCUAUGCCACCCUAAACGCAGACUGUGAGCUAGAUCUAUCCUCUCCAUGUGAGGAUACACUGUAACCAGGGUCAACACCCAAUCCAAUCCUCUCCAAGUGAGGAGGCUCUACAACUAGAGUCAAUAACUAUCGCGGAAUCAUCUAUUCCCGACAUUCAUGCAAUGCUAUUUAGUUUUCUAAAUUCAUUGUUCACAAGGCAUUUUCUAAGGGAUCCACCUAUCCCUAGGUCCCUCGACCUCUAGUGUUAUUUACACUACAUUAAUGCCACUCGUUAUCAUUCAAUGUUUGGAUGCCACUCGUUUGUCCUUUGACAAUAACACUACUUUCUAUGUCAUCAAUACCCCCAUCGGGUUCAUCUCUUUUCUUUCGCACCAUAGGAUUCACGUCUCGACCCAAUCCUCACCUAUCUAAAUCACCAAGCGUUCCAAGUACACUAGGUUAUCAAUUAGAAAGCAUAAGGAAUGGAACUACUAUGCAAUCCUACAAUGCACAUGAAGAGAUGAGAUUAAAUGCAAUCUAAGACAUAGAAAGGAGUUCGAAAGUCUCGGAUGACACCCCCCACCUUUAAUCGAUGUAGAGGCUUGGAAAAUCCUUCUUGGCGAGCUCUACAAAAAGGCCUUAGCCUUCCUCGCCCGAAUCAACACUUGCCCGGCCCGAUUUUGCCGAGAACUUCACGUCGGUUCGCCGAAUGCCAAAAUCGACUUCGCCCCCGCGUUUUGGGACCUAUCAAUAGGGUUUCCAAGACUUCAAAUGAGAUCAAUCUCAUAGUUUUACGAAAAUCCCAUUUUGGAGCCCUAGGUUUGCACCUAUAGCAAACCACCCAAUAAAUCCCUAGAUUCUUGGGAUUGAUCUAUUUAGAAGCUUGCUUAGGGUCCAUUUGACCCAUUCCAAGGCAUAAAAUCCAAAAACCCUAAGUUCUAAGAGCUAGGGUUUGUAGCUUACCACUUGAGCUACACCAAUGAGGAGAGGAGAGGGAGAUGGAGGUGCUCAAAGCCUUCCCCUUGAUCUCCUUCUUCUUCUCCUUCCUUAUCUUCCUCUUCUUUUCCUUCCUCUCCUUCUUGUUCUUCUUCUCCUUCUUUCCUUUCUAGAGAGAGAGAGAGCAAGAGAGAAAUGAGAGUGAGAGAGAGUGAAAUGAGAGAGUGUGAGGGAGAGAGAGGGCUCAGCCCACUCAAAUAAAGGCCAUUUUGCAUAAAAGCCCCUCAACUUUCACUCCUGUGCACUGCCCUCACUGGGCAGUUUUCGCGCGGAGGGACCGGUCUCCCCGACUUGGGACCGGUCCCCGAGAGCUUCCCUCGGGCGCACGCGUUCGGGAACCGGUCUCUCCCCGGGAGACCGGUCCUCGGGAGACCGGUCCUCGCCUGGGAGACCGGUCCCCGAGAGCUCAAUCUUCAGGACUUAGCCAAUUUUUGGCACUUCUCGCUGGGACCACGUUCGGGAACCGGUCCCUCCCUGCCAGGGACCGGUUGCAUCACGCAACCCCGCUGCGCCCAGCCAGGGGAACCGGUCUCUCACCUGCAGAGACCGGUCCCCGAGAGCAACAUCAGCCCAAUGAUGCAGUUUGCCUCAUUUGCUCUCGCGGACUCAACUCCAAGGCACUUUUUGUGCUUUGGACAUUCUCAACUCCCACAAAGGGUAUACUUUCGACAAAUAGUCGAUCCUGGAUGAAGUACAAUCCUCGUAUUUCGAGAAUUCACUUCCUUACAAGAUAUGUAUAUAUCAAGUACAGUAGUGAAUAAUGGAGAACAUGUAUAAACAUGUAUGAACAACUACUGCUACUGCAAAUAAUGAAUAUAUGCAUCAACUUGUCACGCCCCGGGGUCCCUUUUUGAUUUAUAAGCAAUGCGGAAGCGUCCAUUUUUUUUUUUUUGAAAAACUCGACCCCCAGGGUAUGUCAGAUCCGCCAUAAUACAGGGAGUCCACUGUUCACACGGAUAGAGCCUCUCUUGUAUUUGCACGGCGUCGCACAAGUACAAAUACAACCACAACAGUACAAACAUCCACACACAUAUACCACAUCAUAGAUUCCACUUUAUAUCAUCAUAGAUAAUAGUAAUUUCACAUCUAUUAGUUUAAAAUGUUUCCUACUCGCAAAUUUAUUUUGAAACACUAAGAGUCAUGAAACCAAUAAAAACCCUUUCAAAACCGUUUUCCAUACAGAAACUCUUUUUCUUUAAAACACGCUACCACGAGGAGUAGAAAAUCGUUUUCAUCUCAAAGAAGAACAUAAGUUCUUUAAUUCAUUUACCAAAAUCACAUUUAUCCAAUUAAAUGAAAGCCAACUGAACCAUAAUGUCUAAGUUAUUUAUUUUGAGUAAGAAAGGAUAGAAACUAGACCGAAUGUCACCGGGCCAGAAACUCUAUCGACCGCUACGAACGUGUCUCACGUCUCGUCUCAACCCUCACCGCCCACAAUACCUGAAAAAUGGUGGGAGAGGUGAGAACAUGUAAACAUGUCUCCCCUCCCAGUGGGCACCGCAAGCCGACGAAGGCGAGGAGUACUCACCGCAUUAGGAAGAGAUAAAUAAGGUCAUGAGUAGAUAUAACAAAUAUAGUAGCACAAACUGAAAGGAAGUAGAACAAUAACAGAAUAUAUAACUACCGCUACUAUAAAGAAGAACCGAAUGCAUACAUGGAUAUGGAUAUCAGAAUUAUAGUAGCAAGACAAGCGUAAAGAAAGGACUGUGAGUGUACAUGCAACAACGGCUACUAUAGUCAUAUGCGUCAACCGGACGAGUAGUCCAAAAUAUACCCAAUCUAAACCGCCAUGUCGGUCUAAGGAUCUCAGGCAAAAGCCACCACCUGCUCACACCUGGCAUGUAACCUUAGCUGUCACACCCCGUGCCCCGCCUAUUUGGUCGGGUUCGGGCACGCCAAUAGACCGCUGAAAGGACAGAGUUUUCCCUGUACGUCCAAGGCGUCGCAGUCAAUACAAUGCACGAAGUUCCAACUAGGAACACAUUUCAAACAAAGAUUGUAUAAGGAAGUAUUAAAAACAUAAAACAACUAAGUUAUUACAACAUUCAUCUUUAGGUGCAUUUUACAUCACAAUUACUAUUACAUUUUUCCAACUUCCGAAUACAAUCCAAGUUACACUAAUUUAAUUACAAGUUUAAUCCAUUCAUCUUGUUCUUUUCAUUUCCCUCUACCCUUAGGCUAUGCCGACUCGGGGUACUGCUAUCUCUGGUCUCUGGGUAGGGCGCUAUCUACGGAGUUACGCCCUUGCCUCGCGCUGCCGCGUGUAAUAACUGAGAUUUUGAUUUAGUGAUUAAACCCUUUCGUUUGACGAUGUUCUUGUGUGUAAUAUAAUUAUAAGUGUACUCGUCAAAUUUCAGGAGAAAACGAGUUAAAACGGAGAAGUUACGCGACCCGGAAGUCUGACUUAAGUGAAUAGUAACUCCGGUUUUCCGGAGAGGCCGCGGAGUAAAGUGGACUUUCGACGCUUAUCGGACUCCGAAUAUAGCCUUCCAAUAGCUCGUUUUCAACCGCUCAACUAUCCUAGACCCAAUGGCACUGACAGAUUUGGUUUUGGAUGCACGGAUUUCGAGAAAAAGGGGUUUAAUGGUUUUUGCAUAUAGUUGUCUAUAUGUGGUUUUUGGUGGAACCUAGGAGGGAAGGUUUUGUCACAAAUCGGGAAUCUUUUCGGGCGAAACGAGAUGCUAGAUUCGAUGCCUCUGUCGUGCUGAUCGCGCUGGUGCGAUCCGAUCGGAAAUCCGACGGACGGAUCUUCGGGAAUCGCGAAAAGUCCGCGAAGGGGCUGAUUUGAGUAAUCGAAUUAUUUGCGAAAAGGCCCUAUAUUUUAUGCGUCGAUUUGCGAGUUUUUGAACUCGGAGGGACUGUCGUGCAUAAAGCACUCGCUAGCAGGGAGCUGGGUUUAAACCGUUCAGCCUUGAAGGGGGUUUUCCGCAAAGACGCAGCACCUAUAUAUGAUGACCUAGGGUUUCUUGAGCUAACCCUAACCCUAGAACCCCCCCCCAGCUGACCCAGCCGCCCCUGUCACCCCUGUCACCCCAGCACCUCCCUGCCCUGCCCGUGCUCACGUUCCGGCCGCCGUCGAGCAGCCCCGGCCGCCGGAAACUGCCUGCAACCAGCCUUCCUCCUCUCCUCGGCCACCUCCCUCAUCCACCUAGACCGAGGGCUUGUGGGAGGGUCUCCACCGCCUCUGGAAGCAAGCCCCGGCCUCCUUCCACCUCAGGUGUGCCUCUCCCCUAGCUCCGGCCGCCCCCGAGCGUCGCCGGAGCCGCCGGAAGAGGCUGCAGCCAGCCGGGUCUGCCCAGAACCGAGCCAGGCCGAGCUCAGGUUGCGGGCUUUGGGACCGCAUUUCCCCUGCGGCCAAGCCCCCCUGUCGACCCCGGCGACCUCCAGCAACCCGGCGCGCGCGUCCCCGGCCGUCCCCGCGCCCCGCCGGCCGCCGCCAAGGUCUCCCGCCGCCGCUCGGGUCCUGUGCGGGCCGACCUUGGAGCCGCGCCACUCCCGAGCGCUGCCGUUGCCCUCUGAGGUGAGCACCACCUCCCCCUUGGUCUCCGGCACCGGAUCAUCGCCGCCCCGACCUCCCCCGGUCGCCGCCUCGCCGCCGGCAAGCUCCAACCCGAGAGGAAGUCGGCGGGCCCGAUCUCCGCCGCCGCGCCACCGGCUGCUGCCCGCCGCCGGCCAGCACCUCCCUCGGACCUCCCCGACCUGCUGCUCCCAUCACCGGCCGGAGCGCCCGCCGCCCGAUCGCCGGCGGCCAUCCCUAGCUCCCACAGCUCCGGUGAGUAGUUUACUUUGGUUCCAGCACUGCUGUUUUGCGUUCCGGUCACUUUUUCGGUGAUCCGAUGACUCCCUGGCACCUCGGGAGGUGAGCACGGUGAUCGUGGGCUCGUGCUGAACACGAUGCUCACCUCCAUUUAGGUUAACGGUGCCCUGGUUAGUGAGUAAUGUGCGAUCUUCGCGCUGUGCGCACUGUUUCGCUGAGGUUCGCGUCGCUCGUGCGCGCGUGGUUGCUGCCGGCAGUGCUCCGAAAGGUGAGCACGGCCUCAGGCAUGCUGAAACCUUGCAGCAAGUGCGAUGGCAACCUCCGUAGAUCCCUGGUUUGCUGGUACGACCCGUUAGAGCCAUGAAAUCACAUAAAAUAAUGUGAUUUCAUGGGCCAUUUGGGAUCCGUUUGCGUUUCGCUUCGUCGUGGCUGCUGUUGGUAGCAGGUUAAGGCUUAAGAUAACCUCUGGACUGAUCGUCCAAGGCCCCAAGCCUUUGCGGAAAUCUAUCGGUCAUUUCCGGAGCGUUUUUCGGCGAAAUCCGCCGAUAGAACGCGCGUUCGACUCGGAAUUCAUCCGACGGUGCCCCGUGGUUGUUUGUUGCGUCGCUGAGCCUUAUUGGCUGGUCACCCGUGUCGUCUCGAGGGUUCAGAAACGACGGGUGAGCGACGGUAGAAUUCUAGUACGGUUUCCGAGACUUCCAGCCGGUUCGGAAGUUGCGUUUGAGAAACCGAUUUCCGAGGGGUUAUGAUUUUGGGAUUUGUGUGAGAAUGGUCGUGUUAUUGUGUUUGUGGGUUAGAUUCUAACCCGGUGGACCCUUCGUAGGUCCGGUCGCUUCGUCUCCGCCUUCGCGAGACCGUUUCAGCUUCAUACAGGUGGGUACUUCGAUCCGAAGUCGGUACAGCGGUGCACGCUCGGUGAUGUCUUCCUUUACCCUAUCUUUUACAUCGUCUAUUCAUAUUGUUUACUCGUUAUAUAUUGAGCCUUGCACCAUACUGUCUUUAUUUACUCUGCCGGUUGUCCUAUGCGUAGUAUUCUGUGUAGGGGUAGAGUAGAUGGCAUUAGUAUAUACUAUACAUGUGACCUGAUUGGUCGGUUCUUCUGUUGCAUCGGUGACCUGUUUGGUCGUUCAUUACUUUUCGUACAUUGACCUAUCUCGGUCGGUUCACGUUGUACUUGAUGACCUAUACGGUCGGUUUGCCCAGAGGGGCAGUGAUUGUCGGCUGGUUGCCGACGGUUGGCUAUUGAGCAUAUCAGCAUCGAUCGUCACCACUCGUUCGCAUUUCACGAACACCAGCGGUCUGAUCCACCGCAGGGGGUGUUCUUUUUCGGAAAAGUGGUUGGGUUUGCCCACCCGUGAGCUCAGAGGUUACGACUGGGUACAUGCAGGUUGAGUGAUUGUGGCAUUAGCCUGAGGUCUCCGGACCAACAAGGCAGGUUUAGAUUGGGUAUCCUUGGACUAUCCACCAGUUGAUGCAUACAUACAGUAGCAGUAGUUCAUUACUUGUACAUCAGUUCCUUACUUGUACUUUCUGUUCUUUUAUCAUAGUAGCUACUGUAGUUGUUUACUGUUACUGUUGUUUAGCCUCCUUUGUUGGUGCGUACCCUCGCCCUCGUCGGCUUGCGGUACCCACUGGGAGGGGAGACAUGUUUACAUGUUCUCACCCCCCGCCCCCAUUACAGGUGACGUCGCAGGUCCGAGUGGGACGGCAGGUGAGGAGCGAGUCUAGCUCGCGUUAGAGCUCCGUCCACUUUGGUUGUCUCUUUUCCCUUGCUUGAAUAAAUAGCAAACUUUCAUUACGGUUCAGUUUCAUUCUGUACUUGAAUAUUUGGUUUUCCGCUGGCUUUUCGUGAUAAAAAGAGAUUUAUGGGCUUUUCAAGUAAAAUGAUUUUCUACUCCUCGUGGUAGCGCUUGUUUUAAAAAAAAAAGGGUUUUCAUAUUCGAUACAGUUUUCGAUGGUUUUCUACCCCUCGUGGUAGCGUUUUAAAAGAUAAGGUUUCCGUGUGGGAAACAGUUUUAAAAGAAGCUUUCAAUGGAUUUCUGAGACUUAGCAUUUCAAAACUCGUUUCCGGGUAGGAAACAUUUCAAAUGAUAGUCCUGGAUUUAUGUUUAAAACUUGGAAUACUGUCAUGUUGUGAAUGGUGAAUGUAUGGACGUCUGCAUGUGCGAUUGAGAUUGUGUGUUCAUAUGGUUGUGGUUGUAUUCUGGUUGUACUCUAAUUGUGUAACUGUACUUGUGCGACGCCGUGCAAAUACAGGGGAGACUCUGUCCGUGUGAACAGUGGAUUCCCUGUAUUUGUGGCGGAUCUGACACACUCUGGGGUCAGAUGUAUCAAAAAAAAAAUUUUAGUCGUUUCCGCUAUUUUUCCAAAACAAAAAGGGACCCCGGGGCGUGACAGAUUAAAGUGGUAUCAGAGCCAGUUUACAACCACAACACCAUUCACAGGUUGUUUUCGAAAAAUCCAAUGAAACUGAACCAUUGGUUAGGUUGACCCAUAGGAGGACCCACGGUAUAUAGGCACGUGAGUGCGGGGGUUUGGGCUCGAGUCCCGGUGGGAGUUGGUCGAGUCGAUUAUUCGACUGACGGUGUUUUCUGUUGCAGAUGGCUCGUGGUAGACCGCGUGGCAGUGGACGCAUCAGUUCGGGGACGUCGCGCAGUCCAGCCGGGAGAGGCCGAGGAGGUGGCGGGGAGCAGGUCGGCCCUGAGCCGCUGGGGGAUGCGCGUACCCAGCAGCUCGAGGCCGAGGUAGCAGCGAUGAGGGGUCAGCUCACGGCCCUCUCCGGGAUGUUCCAUCAGUUCUUGCAGCAGCAGACCGCAGCUGCAGCUCCCCCAGCCCCACCUCCGACGCAGCCUGCCCCGACGACUGCGGACCCUCCGGUGACGCCUGCACCGGCUACCGCUCCGACGGUUACGGCGACGAUGGCUGCCGCCACGACACUUCCUUCUGGGGGUACUGAUACCCAUGCAGCUGAGGGCGCCCGCAUACGGGCGAAGUUGGCCCAGUUCAGGAAGUUCGACCCACCUAAGUUCGCUGGGAAGAAUGAUGAUGCAUGGGUGAUUGAGCACUAGGCCACCCACAUGGAGAAGUUAUUUCGUGAUCUCCAUAUCGAUGAGCAGGAUCGAGUUCCUUUGGCCACCCAUUGCCUAGAGAGUGAUGCUUAUGCGUGGUGGAUUCACCAUUUCGAGAAGAAAUUGGAGAGUAUCUAUCCACCCUGGGAGGAGUUUCGGAGACUCCUGUACGAGCAGUUCUUCAAGGAUAGUACAAAGCAGAGCUUGGAGCGCGAGCUGGAGCGUCUCAAGCAGGGCAACCGUUCAGUAGCGGAAUACAAGCGGGACUUCAGCCGUAUCGUUGGGCUGAUUCCCUUCGCCGUGCGAGAUGAGUACCAUAAGGCCAGGGUUUUCAUGAGGGGAUUGAGGCCUAACAUUCGACUGUUGGUCGCGUCCAAUGGUGUGAUGACCUUCGAUGAGUGUCUGGAUCGGGCCCUGAUUGUGCAGAGUGAGUCAGAGGAGGUUCGAGCUGAUCGCGAUGCAUCCGAGCGACCAGGCGAUAAGAAGCGUUCCCGCGCCAAGUUUAGUAGUGGUUCUUCUUCCUUCAGCAAGAAACCGCCAAAGCAUCCGCGCACUCAACAGGCGGCAAAGAGUGCGCCCUCCGGCAACCAGCAGAGGGGCGAUCGACCUUGUGUGAUCUACGGCCAGGCUCAUCGGGUGGUCGAAUGUCCGCAGAGGAGGGACCACUGUUUCCGUUGUGGCCAGCCGGGCCACCUGCGAGCUCAGUGUCCUAGAGGUGGCGGGACUUCUCAUAGUGCUGUCUCCUCCCCGGCUGCACCCCGACAGAGCCGCGGAGCCCCGAGUGCAGCUGCUUCGUCUGGGCGUCCCCCCUUACCUCGGCAAACUGAGGGGACGCGCCAGGCAUCUGGUGGGAGAGUCUUCGCCCUGACUCAGCACGAGGGCACUAGUGGCGACGUCCUUGCAGGUAUUGUCACCCUCAACCUUACUCGUGCUAGAGCUAUUUUCGAUACUGGAGCAUCGCACUCUUUUAUUUCGCAUUCAUUUGCAUGUGAGCAUGGUCUUUCCUCGCAACCACUCGAUGUACCACUUCGGAUCGAGACACCUGGAGGUGAUCUUACUGCUGUCAGCUGUGUCUCGUCGUACCCCGUCUUCUUGGAUGAUCGGUCUUUUCUAGCUGAACUGGUGGUUAUCCCGAUGAAGAAAUUCGACUUGGUGCUUGGGAUGGACUGGUUCACCAGGCACCACGCUACUAUCGACUGCGAGCGGAGGAUGGUGAUCCUUGCCGAGCCUGGUGGUGAAGUAUUCGUCUACCGAGCAUGUAAGAGCUCUUAUUUCGCUGCGACUAUCUCUUCUGCUAGGGCAAAAAGAUUGUUGAAUGCCGGGUGUGUGGCUUACCUGGCUUCGGUAGACGUAUCUUGCCGAGCUACACCAUUUUUGGAGGAGAUUCCUGUAGUUCGGGAAUUCCCAGACGUUUUUCCAGCCGAGCUUCCAGGAAUGCCUCCGGACCGGGAGAUCGAAUUCUUCAUCGAGCUUGUUCCGGCCACUACGAGUUCACUGUGAUGCCUUUCGGGCUCACCAACGCUCCGACAGCCUUCAUGGACAUGAUGAACAGGGUCUUUCGGGCUUAUCUGGAUCAGUUUGUCGUGGUUUUCAUUGAUGACAUCCUGAUCUACUCGCGGAGUGAUGAGGAGCACGAGGAUCAUCUCCGACGAGUAUUGUAGAUACUUCGGGAGCACAGAUUGUACGCUAAGCUCAAGAAAUGCGAUUUCUGGCUCCGUGAGGUGUCAUUCUUGGGGCAUAUUAUAACUCCGGCGGGCAUUUCGGUGGACCCGAAGAAGAUAGCCUCGGUGGUUGAGUGGCCUGAACCAACUUCGGUGACCGAAGUCCGGAGUUUUCUGGGUUUGGCAGGGUAUUAUCGGCGAUUCGUUGAGGGCUUCUCCAAAAUCGCCACGCCGCUUCACAAGCUUACGAGGAAAGGAGAGCGGUUCCGGUGGACUCCGCAGUGUCAGCAGAGCUUCGAUGAGCUGAAGGAUCGACUGACUCGCGCACCCAUUCUUACUCUACCGCGGCCUGGUGAGGACUUUGUGGUUUACUGUGAUGCCUCCCGGGUCGGCUUGGGGUGCGUACUUAUGCAGCGGGAUCGAGUCAUCGCUUACGCCUCUCGACAGCUGAAGCCCUAUGAGCAGAAUUAUCCGACUCACGACUUGGAGCUUGCAGCGGUCGUUUUUGCCCUUAAGCUGUGGAGGCAUUAUCUGUAUGGAGCUCACUGCGAGGUGUUCACCGAUCAUCAGAGCCUGAAGUACCUCUUCACCCAGAAAGAGUUGAACCUCAGGCAGAGGCGUUGGCUCGAGCUCUUGAAGGACUACGACAUCACGAUCCAGUAUCAUCCGGGAAAGGCGAACGUUGUGGCGGACGCCUUGAGCCGGAAACAGCCUUCAGCUGAGAUGUCCUUCAUGAUCACGAGCCAGGAUCGACUUGUGGAGGAGUUCUGCCGUCUUGAGAUCGAGGUUGUCCCCACCGGAGCUACGGCUCAAUUGAUGACUCUGGUGGUACAACCGACUUUGGCAGAGCGGAUUUUGUUCGGUCAGCACAGCGACCCGUAUUUGCUUAAAGUACGGGCGGAGGUCGAGCAGGGCCAGGACGAGGAUUUCACCAUCCACUCCGAUGGAUCUCUGCGCUUUAGAGGCAGAUGGUGCGUGCCUAGUGAUUCGGAGCUGAGGAACGACAUCCUAUCCGAGGCGCACCGAUCCCCUUACACAGUUCAUCUAGGCGGAACCAAGAUGUACCGCGACUUGAAGCAAAACUUUUGGUGGCCUGGGAUGAAGCUUAAUGUGGCCCAGUUCGUGGCUCGGUGCUUGAUCUGUCAGCAGGUGAAAGCCGAGCACCAGCGACCGGCAGGAAAGCUGCAACCACUUCCGAUUCCUGUGUGGAAGUGGGAGCAGAUCACUAUGGAUUUCGUCACCGGAUUACCUCGAUCACAGCGAGGUCAUGAUGCGAUCUGGGUUAUAGUGGAUCGGCUGACGAAAUCGGCCCACUUCCUGCCGAUUCAUACGAUGUGGUCCCGUGAUCGACUGGCACAGUUAUAUAUCGAUGAGAUCGUCCGACUUCAUGGUGCACCAGUGUCGAUUGUGUCUGAUCGGGACACUCGCUUCGUUUCCCACUUCUGGAGGAGCUUGCAGCAGGCUAUGGGUACGAAGCUGAACUUCAGUACGGCUUUCCAUCCUCAGAGUGACGGUCAGUUAGAGCGAGUCAUCCAGACUCUUGAGGACAUGCUUCGCGCAUGCGUCCUGGAUUACGGUGAUGGAUGGUUUCGGUAUUUACCGUUGGUGGAGUUCGCCUAUAAUAACAGCUUUCAGGCGAGCAUCGGGAUGGCACCAUACGAGGCGUUGUAUGGGCGUCGAUGUCGUUCUCCUAUCUGUUGGGACGAUGUCGGAGAACGCUGGUUGGUAGGGCCAGACUUAGUAGAGGACGCGGAGGCAAAGAUCCGCAUUGCGAGAGAGCGGCUUCAGACUGCACAGAGUAGACAGCGGAGCUACGCGGACCAGCGGAGGCGUGACCUAGAAUUUCAGGUCGGUGAGCAUGUGCUGCUCAAGGUGUCGCCUUCCAGGGGAAUCAAACGGUUCGGUUUGCNNNNNNNNNNNNNNNNNNNNNNNNNNNNNNNNNNNNNNNNNNNNNNNNNNNNNNNNNNNNNNNNNNNNNNNNNNNNNNNNNNNNNNNNNNNNNNNNNNNNNNNNNNNNNNNNNNNNNNNNNNNNNNNNNNNNNNNNNNNNNNNNNNNNNNNNNNNNNNNNNNNNNNNNNNNNNNNNNNNNNNNNNNNNNNNNNNNNNNNNNNNNNNNNNNNNNNNNNNNGAUAGAAUCCACGUUCCCAUCCUCGCCGCGCGCGUCACCUGCACUUCUGAGCUCGCCGCGCCGCCGGAGUGGCUGAUCCAUCAUUCUCAUCUCUCAUCUUUCUCUCUCCCUUCUCCUCUGGGUUAAGUGUAGGCCCGGCUGCGCCUCCUCAGACUCUCCUGGAAUUUCACCUGUGCUCCGGAACCUCCGCCGACAGGCCGCCGUGCGGCGCGCGCCCGCUGCUCCUGCGCUGCUGCAACCAGGCGAGCCAGCCGAGAGCUGGUUCAGCUGCGCCAUAGCGUGCGCCCUCACUGCCGAAACCCUCUCGCCGACAUCUCCUGUGCCCGGGCGCCCUUUCCUUCCGGUCGCUCGCGCCCCGACGCGCCGCCGUCGCCGCCUUCGGCCUGCUGCGGCCGCCAGCCCGAGCUCUGCUGUUGUGUUGCGGUCUCUUCCCCCGCCGCGGCUGGUCCCUCGAGGAGUGCCUCCGACCUCUUAACUGCCACCCUCCUCGCCGUCUCGCGACCUCCCGGCCGCCGCCUGUGGGCCGGAUUAAACCCGCCCGAGCCCGGCUCUCUGCGGGCUCGGUGCUCCGCGACGCCGCUGCGCUCUCGUCGCAACCGAGUGAGCCCAGUGUUCCUCACUUCCCUCGCACCCGACCCUGGCCCGCUGCGCGCGCGUCCGCCGGAAAGCCGGCCGACAAAGGUUGCUCGCCAAAUCGCCCGAAAUAGGACUUUGCUUGGUGUUUCGUUUGGUUUGGCUUUUUCCCGAGCUCCCCGUCUCUACGGAAGGGAGCAUGAAUGAUCUGGCAAUUUGCUGAUAUAGUGCUCACUUUUGGUUCGUCGGGAAAGGCCUCGUCCGCGUUUGCGAUGUCGCUCCGUUCACAGCCCUUAUUUGUCUGCUGUUCUUCAGGUUUGUGCUUGUUUCGGGGACUCUAAGGUCUUUCCGAUGCCUCCGAGGUGAGCAGGGUGACCGCUGGUCAGUGCUGAUAACACAAUAGCUCACCCUUCCAGUGGAUAGGAAUUGGUCCGGUUAUUCUGUUCGGGCAGCCGAUCCUGUUCCUAUGACGCGGCGUCUAUUCCGCUGAACCUUCGGGUGCCCCGGCGCAUUGUCUCCGCGAGCCGCUUGGCUCCUUCGGAUCGGAGCACGCGACGCUCGUGUAACGUCGAGACUACUGUCAUUUACGUGCUCUAACAGACUUGAAUGUCUUUUCGGUUGCGGAACACCGCUUGAUCCUCAAAAUUACUAAAAUGAUGAGAUUUUUAUUAAGUAGAGGAUUUUGUAAUGCAUUGUGCUUUGCGUGCAGCUGUGGCAGUGUGUGGGAGUUGUAAGACCUUUGGAAUUGAUUUGUCCAUUGUCCGUAGCUUUCGCUGGAAAUGGUAGGCGGUCGAUUCGGUGCACUUUUUUCCGGGGAAAUCGGCCGAAAAGAACGCGGUUUCUGCGGUCGGAUUCCUUUCGCGACGGUGUUGGACUUCGUGUUUUGCGCAUUAAGGGGUGGGGGGGGGGGGGGGAGGGGGGGGGGGGCGGGGGGGGGGCCUUUUGCGGUCACAUCAUCAUUUUGUGGUUCGUUUAUGAUGAUGAGCGAUUGCGGUGGUCCUGGUCGAAAUAAACCAUGUUCGGAACCGAUUCUAAAUUACCGGCCAUAAUUGUAGGUGUUAUCUGUGUUUGCCUGCCAAAACACACAAUUGGAGUGCUUUGGGGCAGCAGGUGACUCGUUGAACAGUCGUUGAGUUCGGGACAGUCUUAGUGGGUCCCGAUCGGCGUCCCGUUGUGGUUUUUCGGGACUUUCCGGUGGGGAGUUACGGUAAUCGUAUUUGGAAACCGAUCUUUUGUGAAUGUUUCGGGGUUUGUGGAUACUGUGAUUAUGUUUUUGGUUAGAUCUAACGCGCGGUGGACCUCAUAGGUCACUGCUCACAAUUCUUGUUGCAGUCAAUAGACAGACCUUGACAUCCGCAGGUGGGUUACUUUUCGAUCCGACGUCGGUAAGUGUGCACGCUUGGGAUCGUUUUUACCCUUCACGUCUAUGUUUUUACUAUCGCAUAGUAUUAUUGACCUUGCACGCCUUGUUAUAGUGUAUAUCACCUACGCGUUUUGGCAAGCUUAUAUUUCUGAGUUAGAUAGAGCUAGUUCUAUCUAUUAUGCGUACUUUGAACCUUAUUGUCUGUGUUGCAUCAGAUAUCUUUGACCUUAGUUUGCGUCGAUUUUGUUGCAUUUCGCGUAUCUGUUGAUCUAUGGUUCGUGUUGUUGUUUGCAUACCGUAUCUUUACCUGGUUGGUUCGGUUUUCGUCACUUACGUUUCCGGUACUGCUGAUUGUUCGGUUCUAUCUCGUACCUCGUCGAUGACCUUGAGGCGUAUAUCCUAUAGGGGUGUGAUUGCCGUUAGCACCGACGGGAUGAAUUAUAGUUUACAAGGUGCCAGCUAUUUGGCAUAUUUGUGACCUAGUCAGCUCGCUUCGUGAGUCCUGUCGUUUGAUGUACCUAUAUGUCGGUUACGCCUGAGUGGGUUCGGAUGCUCAGGGUAGUCGCCGAAGGUGAAUUCAGAGAAUUCUAUUGAUAUAUGCAUGGUGACUCUAUUGUUCGGUUCGUCAUGCAUAUAUGUUAGUUACAUAGUCAAAUCAGUGCUUGUAUACCUUCCGUAGCAGUUGAGUGUGUCCUCUUAGUUGACUUGAGUGAGUCGUUUCUUCGUGCUUCUCUAUAAAGUUUUUGAUGAUAGUUGGUCGUUUGGCCCGCCGAGGGCGGUGAUUGUCGCUAGUUCCGACGUUUUGGCUAAUUGAUUAUAUCUGGCAAUUGAUCGCAUCACAGCUAGAGUGCAUUCAUGUACAUCCGGCAGUUACUGAUCCCGCAUUGGUGUUCUUUUCCGGAAAAGUGGUCGUAUAUCGACCCGUGAGCCCAGCGGUGUUCUCUUUGCUAGGGUUACAUGCCAGGUGGAGCAGGUUGUGGCUUUGCCUGAGGUACCUUAGACCGCACGGCGGUUUAGAUUGGUACUUUGAUACUUGUCGGUUUGUCGAUAUAGCUAUAAGUAGUGGUUGAUAGCAUACAUACUCUUAGUUCUUCAUUACAUUGUCUUGCUACUAUAGCUUCUAUAACAUGUAUAAUUUAUUGUUCUCAUGUACAAGAGCGGUAGUUUACUUCUUUCAUAUAUAUGUCUCUUUCAUUAUUAUUCUACUGGAUUUUCUACUGACUCUCUGUAACUGUUGUUUAACCUCUCCUGAUCCUGGAUGAGUACUCCUCGCCUUCUAUCGGCUUAAGGACCACUGGGAGGGAGACAUGUUUAAUUGUUCUUCACCUCCCCACCAUUUUUCAGGGUAUUGCGGCGAUGAGUUUUGGGAACUUAGACGUGGAGUACUUCGUAUCGGAUCGAUAGACGGCUUGCCCGACCGCAGGUUACGAUUUCCAGUGUUUAUAUCCUUACUAUUCCGUGUUCAUACCGCUUACGUAGUUUAUAUGGUUCGUUAGAUGUACAUAGUUGAUGUUUUGAUAAUGUUGUGACUGGUUGAAUUUGUGGGAUUUGUAGGAUUGUGAUUGGUUUAUGGAUCUUUUCUUCAGUUUGGGAUGUUUCUGUAUAUUGUGGUUCUCCGAUUUGUAUUUAUGGAUUUACUCAAUCGGGUUUCUAUCCAACCUGAGUAGUCAUUUCCAACACUAGAGUUCGCGUGUUGGGAAUACAUUUCAAAAGAUUUUUGCAUGAUUUCAGUAUGAAAUGAUUAGAUUUUAAAAACAAAAGCUUCCGUGUGGGGAGUGUCAGUCUCGGGAACCGAUACCAAUUGGUCCGAUCGUCGAGCACAGUCACGAACCGAACGGACAAGUUGCCCCAUCUCGCCCAGGCUCAUCCUCAUGUAAAUAAAUUCAACAGAAUUGCCUAGCGGAAAUCAUUACACAACGCUAAUCACGAAGUAAAGCAAUAGCCAUGAGUGACAAAUACAAAAACUAAACAUUCAUUUGUACUAUGAUGCGUUUUUUGAUCAUAACAAUACAUCCAACUUGUAUUUUUCGAAUGUCCUUAACAUUUCGUUUCAACAUUUCUUUCUGAACAUUCACAUUUACCCAGAAAUACACAUUAAAUUCUUUUCUUAACAUGAUUUACAUCAUAUACAAAAGUAUUAUACAAUAAGGUACGUUUACUCAAGAAUGAAACCCCGAUCUUUGGUGGCCUCUUGACUACAGGCUUCGGAUAACUUUACUCGUCGUAUCGCCGGCAUCGCUCUGCUUCCGGCUCUGUGAAAUAUAGUGGGGUGAGAAACUACAACAAAUUCCGGAGUGGGUUCGGCCUCAACAUCACCUGGACUUCUUCACUAGAGACUAACUCAGGCAUAAUAGAAAGGAAACAGAUAUAGUAACCAAUCUAUAACAUGAUGCUAAUAUGCCUGAACAAAUAGCAAGAAAUAUGCUCAACAUUAAACAUAUGCAGGUUAUGCAAGUUCUUUCGUUCUUUACACUUUGCACUUUACACUUUAUUCUUUGCUCUUUGUUCUUUACUCUUUAAUCUCAAGGCUAACCCGGGGGUGUCGCCACAUUAACUUGCUUCACAUUAAGUCCAUCAUCGCAGGAACUCACCCGCUAGGACCGUCCUUCGGGUUUACUCCAACCCGUGAUGCAUAACUCCGGAGCGCAUCGCCCGAGGGGGAGCGACCGCCCUCGAGCACGGAACUCAUAGCAAGUAUGAUCAUAUCCUUAACUCAAAGGAUUUAUAAGUUCAAUCUUGACUUUACACUAGCUCUAGUGUUCUUUACAUCACUUUAUGUUGCAAACUCAUGCAAUCGUUGUUCUUUACUUUUUCUUUUACUUUUGCUAACUCUAGCAAUUACAUUCUUUACAUUCUUUACUUUUAGCUACCUCUAGCACGUCGUGUUCUUUACUCCCCACAUUACCUUAACUUUAGACAUUGUCAUUUUCACCAUUCCUUACAUCACGUUAGUUCUUUGCAUCACACUAACUCUAGUGUCUCUUUACUUUACAUUUUCAAAUGCCACUCGAUCUACGUCAUAGUGUCACUCUGUUCUUUUGCUCACUUUGGGUGCUCACUUUUCUCUCAUGCAUACAUAGGGUUUUCGACAUUCAUAAGAUUCUCAUUCAUCAUAUUAUGCAAGUUGUACUCACAAUCAUGCAUCAUUACAUUUCAUCAUUACUUUACCCUAAAAUGCAUGCAACAAUAUAUAUACACAUGCUCAAAUGAAUGACACAUUAGGCAUAGAGAGAAGUUCAAUGAGUUUGAGAAGCACCACCCACCUCGUAGGCUUUCAAAGGUGCUCCGACGAUUUUCUUGGGAUUUUUAGACACCCGGUUCGCUACCUGCGGCAAAUCGAAGCCCUAUUAGGCCAUUUUGCUCAUAUCUUUACCUCGGCCUUUCGUAACGCUAAUCCGAGCGCACCAACGCGUCGGAAAUACCCCCAAUUAGGUUUUUGAAGGGUCAAUUUCACUUAGAAACCCUUAUGAGCAAAAGCCCAAAUUUGGGUGCCCUAGCUCCAAUGCAUGUGUAAACCUAGGGUUUGAUCUCAUUGGGAAGCAAAAGUAGCUUCAUUAUACUCUAAAUAGUCCCUUAGAACCACUCCUAACUCAUUCCAAACCCUAGUUUGGAUUUCACCAUUAGAGGAGGGUUGAAGCUCACCUUGAGCUCAACCAUGGUUUUGAUCUUUAAAGAAGCAAAAAGAAAGCUUCAAAUACUCCAAAAGUUCCAUAAAAACCAUCUUCAUUCUAAUCCAAACCCUAGUUUGGAAUUAAACAUGAGAAGGGGCAAAGCUUACCUCCAGGCUUGCUCCUUUCUUGCUCUAGAGAGGAAGAAGAUGAAGCCUCUUUACUCCUUGAUCUUCUUCUUCACUUUCUUCUCCUUCUUUUCCUUCUUUUCUUCCUUUCUUCUUCUUCUCCUUUGUCUUCUAGAGAGAGAGAGGGAGAGAAGAGAGUGUGAGAGGGUGAGGAAAUGAGAGAAAUAUCUCAUUUGCCCUCACACAUAGCUAUUGGGUUGCAAAAUUGCAGCUAAACUCCUCAGCUUUUAUCUCUGUGCAUUGCCUGGACUGGGCAGUUUUCGCAGGCAGAGACCAGUCUCCCCGAGCAGGGACCGGUCCCCGAAGGUCCACCCUGCGCAGCUAGAGCUGCUGCGCGCAAUGCGACCGGUCUCUAUCUGGUGGGACCGGUCUCCGGGGGACUGGUCUCUCAGACAGAGACCGGUUCCUGAGAGCUGAUCUUCCAAGACUUAGCCGAUUUUUCGGCUGUCUCAUUUCAUACGCGUUCGGGGACCGGUCUCUCCCACCAGGGACCGGUCCCCGAGAGCUGAAAAUCUGCAGUUUUGCAGAAUUUGAUUCUUUAGCUCUCGAAAACCUUUCAUAACUCACUUUUGGUCAUUUUAACACCUUCAGACUUUCCGAAGUGUACCAUCCUCGCACUUUGGUCAAUUUGACUAAAGUUCGACAUCUUUAUUUUCCGAAUUUUCGGUAUAUUACAGGAGCACUUUUAAAUAGGAUGAUUGUUGUACUGUGCAUUGCAUCAUCCACCGCCUAAGGAGUGUUUAGAGGCAUGCAUCAUCUCUAAGGAUUGUUAGCUGUAUGAAAAUGCAUAUCAUGAAUUGGUUGUUGUUUGGUAAAUGUAGGUUGUGGUUGUGAUCCUGUUGUAUCCGUUGGUACGCCGUGCAAAUACAAAGGAGACUCUGCCCGAGUGGACAGAGGAACUUUGUAUUUGUGGCGGGUCUGUACGUCACGUGGGCCAGGUUGAAAAAAAAAAAAAAUGGCACGUUUUCCGUAACUCUGUUUUUAAAAGGCUUUGAAAAUCGGCCCCGGGGCGUGACAGGACUACUAUAUGUUCAACAAGAAUACUUGUUCGAUAGUUUACCAAAUCACUUGGCUAGCCCGGAGGCUCGCUCUCAAUCUCACGUCUCAAUCCUACGGCUAUCCUAUAGGUGCCACACCUACUCAAUCACACUGGUGAGGAUCUGCUCACUCACCCGACUCACAAUCUACUCUCUACGGGGAGGAUCCGCUCACUCGCCCGACUCAACACAGGUACCACAACCCAAUCUCUAUCUCACAGGUGAGGAUCAGCUCACUCACCCGACUCACCUGGGGACGAUCAGCUCACUCGCCCAAGACCGUCUGCGGGACCCAAAAGGCUAUUCCUAUCGUGUGACAACUCCGGAGUGCACUGCUUGUGUGGAGCGACCACCCCAAGCUUUGAACAGACAUAUCAGUAUGAUCAAAUCCCUAUCACUGAGGAUACCUUACCACUCUAGACAACAUCACUCGGGAACUAGUUCAUUCCUACGUUCAACACGAAACAAGUGUUUCCUCUAUACUUUACUUAUCAUGCUACUCGUCAAGUUAUUUACUUAUCUAGAUGCCACUCGUUCUGUGGUUCUCGUUAACACAAGGUUAAGUUCGUCAUUUACUUUACCACUAUAGGGUUCUAGGUCGCAGUUCCCCUAUUCUCAUGCAUCCUAAGUCAAGUGCCAAACUUAUAUCAAUCUACACUACUAAGGAUCAUGCAAGAAUUAAUGGAAAUGCAAUUAUUUAAUACCCUAUUAUUCAUAAUAGUUACACUAGUCCAAAUGCCACUCGUUCUUUGUGUUCAACACUAACUAGAGUUUAAUCCACAUUAAUCAUGUCAUUAUAGGGUUUCACAACACUAUGUCCCAAUCUCAUGCAUACUAGGUACAAGUAUUAAGCAAAUAACAUUACACUACCACUAGCAUGCUAUAACAUGUAACAAUACCAUCUAGCACCCUAUAAUGCGAUAUCACAAUAUGCAACUUGAUCAAUGAUAACUUAGACAUAGGGAGCAGUUCAAUUGCUUCGGGAUGGUCACCACCCACCUUUUAUAGUGUUCUGAUUGCUCAUUGUCACUCGCAAUCGGCCUCCCGCAGCGCACGCCGCUCGACUCGACCCAAUUCACACGCGACCAUCGAACGACCUCCGAUCCGCAAUCCGGAAAUUAAAGGUCUUCGGUUUCUUGUCACGAUGCUCGGAAUUUGAUCUCGUGAUUUAUGGACGCCACCUCGGCCCUCCAGGCGGAAACGAAGGCCGGAAGGUCGUUUUCUUCAAUAUCUUUGCAUCGGCUCGACGAAUCGCCGAACCGACUUCGCCAGCACGUUUAAACACCUAUCAAUUAGGUUUACAACCAUCCAAAUGAGAUCAAAACCCUAAAUUUCUCAAAAUCCCCAUUUUAAACCCUAGAUCACAACUAUGCAAAAAUCCAUCAUGUAGCCUCUUGAUUUAAGUAUCAAUCAACUCUUUAGCAUGCUAGGGUUCAUUUAAAUCCAAUUCUAGAGCUUACAAAUGGAGUUCCAAAGAUCUACCAUUAAAGCCCUUAAAACUUACCUCAACUAGCUAGCAAGAAGAUGAAGAAGAUGGUGUUGGCUCUUCCUUUGAUCUACUUCUCCUUCCUUUCCCUCUUUGCCUUCCUCUCCUUCUUCUCCUUUCUAUAGAGAGAGAGGGAGAGAGUGUUUUAGGGUUUUGGUUUGGAGAAAAUGAGAGAGAAUGAGUUCUCUCCACUCCUAUAUACCCAACUAAUGGUAGAAUUGCCAAAACCCCCCUCAACAAUGCAAAUACUGCACUACCCUCGCGGGGCCAAUUUUUGUAUAAGGGACCGGUCCCUUAUACAAAUAGAGAUCGGUCCCCGAAGGUCCAGAAUUCCAGCAUUUUUAGGACUUAGCCAAAUUUUCAGCUUUUUCACCGUUUCUUCUCCGUUUUUGCUCGUUUGACCUCCGAUUCUUUUCAAAUCAAACCGAGACUCUCCAAACAUGUUUUCAAGCGUAUUUCCAUCAUCUUUUCAUCCACGCUAAUGCCAGAUUUAGUCCACGGACCAACAUAGCCUUUCCGGUCCUGUUUCCGCGCCUACGUGCACUGAAUCGCCCGAAUGCUCCCGAACUUCACCGAACUUCACCGGAACCUUUCCAAUGGCUCUCCAACCAAAUGUACACCAUAACUUCAUGAUUUUAGAAGUCCGGUACCUUACAUCCUCCCCUCCUUAAAAGGAGUUUCGUCCCCGAAACUAACCACUUCUAAUCCAACUCAUACCUCAACUCAACUUAUUGAGUAAUCGAGGGUUCCAAUGCACUUCGCACUCCGGGGUGGCCUUUCACUCAUCGGAACUAUCCAAAGGCCCACUCUGGAGGAUGUGAGACCAAGUUCACUCACAUUUGCUAAGUGUAACAUCGAUAGUGCAUUACUAGCACACAAGGAAUCUCUCCUUGCACCACUCUCCUAAUCGAGGAACACACUUCGAUUCGAUCAUCGGCAUUGCUUAGAGGCAAUGUCAUUGCUGCAUCGAUCAAUCGCGAGUACUACCAUGACAUCCGGAUCUUUGCUCUAUUGCGAGAUGGCACACUUCGGCACAUCUCCAAUGUUAAUCCUCAAGAAAGCAAUAUUCUCAAUUCUAUGUAGCUAUCCGGUAUUCAAGUGUCUCCAAGAGACCACUUUACCCUAUAUUUCAAUUGCCACUUCCAACAUCAAUUCGUUCUUACAACGAAUUCACACGAACACCCCGUUUGUGAAUCCCAGCCAAACUCCUCAACAUAGUUACCGGCCAAACCGAUUACCUCGGUUUCCACAGGUGGACUAAUAGUCACCAAUUCUACGUAGGCCAUAGCCUAUACCGUCUCGACACUCGUAACGUCUCUCGCUCGCAAGCGUUGACCCAAUCAUAACUGGGCGAAAUUCUCACUUCAGAAUUCGUACACACUCCAACCAGGAGCAACUAAGACCCCAAACCACGUCACAUCUUCGGGUUGGGUCACUAUCGCACCUUUAGUGCCGCCUUGAGAUCCAAUACGUGACAUUUCUCGCUCCCGAAUCUAAAUUCGGACUACCACCCUAACCAAAAUCCUUGCCCUCGACAACUCGAGGUAGGUAACGCACUAUCACAACUCAUGCAUGCUGGGGGUAACUACACCGACCCAUGCCCUGGUCUCUACUAUGCUUAUGAAUAAACAGUAGCAAACGACCACAACUACAAUGCAUGCAAUGCACUCAUUUAAUAUCAUGCAGAGGUAUAUAUUUGCUUCAACUAAACCAUACCUGCCACGACAUCAUCCGCAACUGUAGGUUCCUCGACCCGAGCGGCGUACACCCGACCACUUGGAGCAGAUCGGGUCGCCUCAGGCUGACGUGGCGCCAAAGCACGUCCGAUUGAAGCAACAAUCAGUGGAGCUCCUUCAUAAUGGCCUGGAAUUGCCGGAGCAAAUGCGACAGACGGGGCAACCAAAGCCUUUCUCGGGCAAUCACGGGCCAUGUGCCCCGCCUGGCUGCAUUCAUAACGUCUCCCACGGCGAUGCUCACAUUGCAUCACUAGAUGGUCUCCACCGCAGAAGAUGCACCGUUGCGCUUCACGGCCCUCAGACCGCUCUUGCGGGUACCUCGGGGGCUUCUUAGAACUCGACCGUCCUCCCGAACCACCGCCGGUCCGCUUCUUCCCCUUUUCCCUCUCGAACUCUUCGUGCUCCUCGCGAAUACACACAUUGCCGUGCUCAACCCACAGAGCACGGUCCAACACCUCUGUGAACGUAUGAAACUUGAAGGCAUGCACCAAUCGAAAAACAUCGGGCCGGAGUCCCCGCACAAAAUACUCCGCCCGGUCCUGUUCGGUCCUAGCCACAUCCGGUACGCAGUUCAGGAUAUGCGUGAAUUCCCGCUUAUACUCGCGUACCGUGCAGUUACCCUGCUUUAGCUUUCUCUUGUCACUGUCGGGGAAGUACUCUAUGAACAUCAGUCCCCGAAACUCUGCCCAAUCAAUUGGGAGUAAAUUCGGAGAUCUAUCUUGCUUUACCCUCCGCCACCACACUCUAGCCCUCUUAUCGAAACAAUGAGCGGCCAAAGUUACCUUAUCUUGCUCGAGGGUAUAGAUAUCCUCAAACAAGGUUUCCAUUGUGGCUAACCACGUCUCCACACUACUACAAAAUCAUCAUUUAGCGUCAUUUACUCUGCAGCAUUUAUCUAAAUGAUGCUAAUUAAUAUAUUUAACGGCAUUACUUGAUAAUUGCCGCUAAAUUUAAUAGUUUAACAGCAUUUUACUAUUAAUGCUGCAAAAUAACAUAAAUUAGCAGCAUAAAUUAGUAAAUGCCGCUAAUGUUGCCGGCAUUUUCUAAAAAAUGAUGCUAAAUGCAAUAAAAUAGCAGCAUUUAUUGCUAAAUGCCGUCAUUAAACAAUAUAUAAUUAUUAAUAUAUCUCAUUUUCUACUUAACUUUAAAAUUUUUAAAUUAAAGUUUGAAAAUUUAGAAUUUGAAUUUUAAAAAUGUGAAACUUAUAAUUUAAAAACUUAGAACUUAUAAUCUAAAAUUUUAGAUUUUAAAUUUUAAAUUCUAAAAAUUUUAAUUUUAAUUUUUUACUUUUUUAAUUUUUUAAUUUUUUAAUAUUAUAUUAAACAAAAUUUAAAAUUUAAAAUUUUGAGAGUUAAAAUUUGAGAUUUGAAAACUAAAAAUUUAAAUUUAAUAUCUAAAUUGUUAAUUUUCAAUUUGUAAUUUUAAAAUUGAAAAUUUAGAGUUUAAAAUUUAAAAUUUUAAAAAAUUCAAAUAUAAAUAUAAAUUUAAAUUGAAUUUGAAUUUAAAAUUUAAAAGUUGAAUUUAAAAUAAAAAUUGAAUUUGAAAAUUUGAGUUUCCAAAAUUUGAAUUAAUUUUCGAAAAUCAAAUUUUAACUGUUUCUGAUUUUAGGUCUCGAAAAUAAAAAAAAAACAAAUUCGAAGUUUUAACUGUUUCUAACCCUAAAAAUUUUACCCAUGUCGAUCGUUCCCCCUCAUUUUUCCCCCAUUUUUUUUCCUAGGAACCGCCGCCCACCUCCCCUUUCCUCUCAUCCGACUCUUCUUCCUCAACACCUCCUCCUCUUUCCCUCCCCCCUCACCUCCAUCACCCGCGCCACCUCCUCCCACUUGUGCAUCGCCGCUUCCAGCUCCGCGCCCGCGGCCUCCAGCUGUGCGGCCUCCAGCUCAGCGGCCGCCACUUCCAACUCCGCGCGCCGCCUCCUCCAGCUUCGUAGCCGCCGCCUCCAGCUCCUCACGCCGUCGUCUCGAGCUUCGCGGCCGCCGCCUACAACUCCAAAACCCCUGCUCCUCUAUCGAUCUGAGGUACUCCUCUCUCUCUCUCUCUCUCUCUCUCUCUCUCUCUCAGAGUUGUGACCUCAAUUGUUUAAUUUGAGAUUCGAGAUUAGCUUGUCUUGCUGCCAAAGAUCUAUUUUUUUCUUCCAACACAUCUAAAUAUUCCUACAACUCGAUCAAAUACUGAAGUCAAACAACUAAUUACAUAAUAAAGACAAAGCAACAUUUGUUUCUCAAUACAAAAGAACAGACAAAAGUGAAAAAAUAUAGGAUUAGUUACAAAGUUCGACCCUGAAGCUUCACCCCAAUUUUCAAUAUCAAGCUCAUAUUUCAAUUGUAACAACUUAAUCUCAAAAGUUUAACCCCCAAUUUGAAUUCAUCCUCGAGGAUUCAACUUUAACCCUGAAGUUUGGCCUCGAUUUAAUUUUUUUCCUAAAGCCAUCCUCCAAGUUUUGAUGUAAAAUAAGGAAGUUUAAAGAUAGUAAUGACAUGGUACCUCUGUCUAUGGACUAAAGGGAGGGCAUAAUAGCUCGGUAAAACAAACUUCAUAGGUUAAAUUGUUGGCAUUAAAACAAUGAGCCAAAAUUAAAAAAUAGGUCAAAUUCAGGGAAGAAUUUGAUAGUAAAUCGUUCAAAAAUAUAAUGAUGUAGCCAAACUCCUGAUAUUUUUUUGGAGUUAGGAAUACACUAAAGCAUAAAAGCUCACAGCCUCACAGAUCAUUUAGUUCAUUUAGUGCAACAACUCGUGCAGAACCAUUGCUAUAUCCAUCCUUUUUGGGGAUAUUAACAUUCCCUGCAUGGCUUCCAAAACGUGAAUUAUAUAUCUCCAGUAGCAUGCCGUUGUAUUUUAGCAAGUGAUUGUUCAGAAGUUACCUGUGAUAAUCAUCAUCAGCAAAUUUAACUCUUUUCUAGGAAACUUCUUGCAAGACUAUUGACUACAUUUACAGAAGGAGAUCAAAGGAGUCUCAUGUAAACCUUAUGUAUGAAAGGGUGUAAACAGAAAUUAGAAUAAUCAGUUAUUUAAUUACAGAGUAUAUCUAUAUAUAACCAUAUAUUUAAGAUCCUGAGGUAUAAAACCAUAACAAAAAAAAAACCCAACGAAGAUAGCAAAAGAACCGCAAGUAUCAUGAUGACAUCAAAAAUACCAAAUACCACAUUGAAGGCUAGCCGGUCGGACAACAACUUGAGCCUUGAGUACAGUCUCAGUGAAAACAAAAUUAUUAUGCUGAUCAUACCGGACUGAUAAUUUUUCAUUCAAUAAAGUUAACCUACCAACAAGCUGCAUAUACAUCUUAACGCACAUAAAGUAUUAGAAAGAUUGUCUUCAGCAGAUAAGAGAUCCUUGAUAGUGUUCAAAAUUUUGGAUUACUUAUAAGCAUUCUGAAUACUUACUUUUGUUUCCAGACUUCUUCUCAAAGAUUCAUUCUCUUCAUGUAAUUUAGAAAGCUGCUCCUGUCAGACGUUAAAUAAAAAAAGAAAUAAAAUAAAAUAAAUAGCUGCCUUAGAGAUAGCUUUCAAAACAUUUAUGACAAUCGGCAAACACUAUUGCCCUAGAACUCGUGGUUUGAAAAAUCAGAAAAAGAAAAAGGAAAAAAAAACAGCAUUACAAGGCAAGUGAAUAAAAAUAUUGGCGCUUUCAAAAUCCAAUUUAGGAUAUCUUAAAAAUCCCUAUCAUUCACAACUAACAAGAUAAUUAAAGCUGAUAAGUAAAGGCACUAAAUCAUCUCAAACUACAGAAACUUUGCGAAAAAGGUUAAGUACCUCUCAUAUGUUAGAAAAUUGCGUACGGUAAAAACACAGCGAAAAAGAAAUCAAACAAAUUUGAUUUUUGAAAACUCUCGAGAUCAAAUCUCAAAAACCACGCAAUUAGGAUCCCUCAUGUUCUUUAAGAUUAAAGGAGAAAAACAAGAUCGAAUCUUUACCUUUUUCGUGGAUAAAUCUUCACCUCAAUUUGAUGAUCGUGGAAUUCGGUUCUCUUGAAGCCGCACACGCGUCCGGCCUCUAUAGGUAUCCACACGAGGUUCUUGAUUUGAUGGAUGUCCUCACCGGGGUGCUAGCUCCCUUGCAAAAGGACGUCUUUCUUGCUAGAAGAUGGAAGAGAGAAGAGAGGAUAGAUGACGGCUAGGGUUUUCUAAAACUCCCGUAUAUUAUAUAUAGGAAUAUAAUCCUAUUCCUAAUAAUAUAAUGACAAUUAAGGAUAAGUAUAAAUCUAGAUUUAAAUUUAUCUUUUCCUUAAUUGGUUAGAUCGAUCAAAUCCUAAUUUGAUUCGACUUUAAUUUUAUAUUAAUUUGAUCUUAUCAAAUUAAUAAUGCAACAUUUGCACAUAAGUCCUCUUAUAACUUACUAACUAUUAGUAAGUCCUCUCUUGUAACAUUUACACCUUAAUACGACUAAUUUGUAAUAAUUACAAAUUAGUCCAAUUAUCAUUAUAUUGACAAUUAGGUCCUCCGGCGAUUCAAUAAUCGCGAUCUAGCUAUCCGAUCAAUCACAACCUCUUAUGUGUGUGACCCUAUAGGUUCUAUUCUAUCCGGUAGUGAGAUAUAUUUUGAUCACUAUCAACAAUAUCACUGAAACUCCUUUCAAUGGAUCGGAAUAAUUCCAACUCAGCCCAAUGAGAAUUAUCGAUCAUCUAGAUAAUUCUCAUGAGUCUCACAAUCCACCAGUGACGCCUAGCAGCAUGUAGUGGCAUUCCAGUAGAAUGGAAUACUGAACCUCUUGGUGCAGUUACCGUGUGAUACAAUCCUUCUAUCAUGAGUCCCGACUUGACGGAGGCUAUGGAAUAACUCGUCAAACCCCAUCGUCUGUCAUAUGUUAAAUUUAUUCGACUCGAGUUUCUAAUAUCGGAAACCCUUUUCCGCUAUUUAUUCUGCCCUGGCCAAGGUCUUCUAAACUCGGUCUCAUAAAUCACAUAGGACUAACACCCCUAUCUACCAAGGGAGAUAGAUUCCAUCUAAGUGCGCACCCUAUUCCUACAAUGAACCUACUGCAGCCAACAUGCAUCGCAAGGACCCGAAUGGCUAGAGGCCAAGUGUAUGUACAGUCAAACUACAGUAACCUCAUUGUGAACAGCCGAGGCACCGCAGGUCAAAGGACCAGUCAUACUACUGCAACAAUUGAGUAAGUCACUGACGAGUGAGUAGACAUCUAAGUGACUUCUUGCGUUGGUCACGUCCGGUACCCUUGUUCUCUAACAACCACCUGCAUAUUCGCUUCAGUGUCCCCACACUGUCGACUCGAGACUCGUCUACCUAAAAGGGAAGCGACCUAUGCACCAAUCUCACUGGAUCAAUCACCGUCCCCGUGAUGAUCCAUUGAUCGGGAGCAUUUAGGAAUUAACCAUCAAUGACGCAUGUCUCAAAUUCUCAACUCUUGAGAAUAUAUGUCAUCAUCUUAUUAAUUCCUUGGACGAUUCAUGGACACAUAUACAACAUGAAUGGAAAUAAAAACCCAAAGUUAUUCAUAAUAUUUUAAAAUCAAAUACAAAAUUAUGUCCUAGAAAGAAUACAUGUGUCGGCCUGGUUGGCUUCUAGGGCAUACAUCUAACAUCAUAUUCUCAAUUGUCAGCAUAAGACUUAUAAACUUAUCAGAAUAGCAUUUAUUGCCAAUAAAAUUGGCUACAGGUUAAUGUGAAGAAACAUAAACAACAGCACAAUCAACCUGCUUACAACUUUUAAAGCUUCAGUUUCACAAGAAAUGACAGCUAAGUUCACAGAAUGAUAAUAUCAGAUUGUUAUAAUAAAGUCUACCGUACUAAAACUGUCAAAAGACAUACAACAUUACAUGACAAGUAAACAUAUAGAAGCAAGAAACUUCCAACUUAAAAAAGGACAAUAAAAAGUUUGUCACUUAAAAAAGGACCAUACUGCAACAACUAUGCUUUUAACAUGCAAAGAUAUCUUUUCAAAAUGGACACACUGGGAUAAGAUGUCCUUAUUUACUAGACAACUAGUUAUCAAGUUUGAGUGACAAAAUUGAUGGCGGAAAUGGGAAUCCUGUUAGAUUCCUUUCAUAUGAUCCCAAUUUGAACUCUACUCACAGCAAGGAUGGAAGGCAACUGGAAUUAUUCUAAUAUAUUUUAAGUGCCAAAGGGAUUGUUUCAUUCCAUCUUUUAUUCUUUGGCCUUAGUUAAGCAAUCCACUUAGUUAAUAACCUCUCAAUCAUCCCACUCGGCAAUAAAGGCUCUUCAAAUAGAUAGAGAGAUACAAUUUUCAAAUUACAGCUGUAAAACAAGAAACCCAUCCAUCAACUAAUGUAGAAGCAAGGGUCCAAUAUCGCUAGAACAACAAUGGCGAAAAAGGUACACAGAAAUAAAAAGGGAACAUGAAGCAUCAAGAAGUUUAAAAAAGUUCUUAUCACAUAUACUACAAAACAUCACCUCAGCGAAGGUCUUCCCAAGCGGCGAUCGCGUGCAAAUUUAUUGUCAAAUUGCAAUCCCAAGAGAAACUGCAUUUUCAAAUGUUGUUUAAUAGGAUCAGCCGGUUAGUUUAAAGGUAGAGUGAGAGAAAGAGAAGGAUGCCCUUUUAAUUGCUGAUUCAAGUGAUUUUAUAUCUCUAAACCUGUAUGAGCUACAGUCUACCUAAUUAAUUUUAAUCAGAUAACUUGAUGAGAAUACAAGAAAAAAAAAAAAUCAACUCCCUUUUCCACUUGUGUGCAUCUAUCAUUGUGUUUUAUCAAUACAACCAUGUAUCUGUUGAAGGAACAAUAUAAAAUGCUGCAGCUAUUAAAAGCUACAGUUUUAAUACUCAGCAACUUGCCUAAAUUAAGACGUUUUAGCAUUAAAUGUCAACCAACAACCUGCGAAUGGAAAGAAAGUCCAAACCAACCUUUCAAUUUGAUCAUAAACCAAUCAAAGUGUUAGUCAUUUGGAUGAUCUUAAGCAGUUAAUUGUAAUUUAGCAUGAAUAAACCAAACGAAGAAGUCUGACAGAAGAUAACGAAUAAACAUUGAAAUGUGAUUAGUCUCUAAAGUUCGGUCCUACUUCAAUUUCGUCAUCAUAGGAUCGAAGUAAACAUCUCGAGAAUGAAAUUGAGAUCCUCUAAUACUGUUGGACUAAAUAAAUUGUAACUUUUGAUAACAAAAUGCAAAUCCACGUCAAAAUUCAUAAAUAAAUUUAUGAAAAUUGAAAUUCAAUGAGGCUGAAAUUACAGUCAAACUCCAGAGGGAAUACUUAUAACUUUUAAUUUAUAGUAACUUUUGGCUAAGCAUGCUACUUUACUAAAAUUUGAUGACAUUUCUGUUGAUUGGACUGAACUACAUGUGAAAGCUGCAUCAAAUGGAAAUGCUCUGUUUGCUGUCACGCCCCGGAUUACACUUUCCCCGGGCGCGCCGACAAAUCCGCCGUAUACAAAGGAAUUUCCCCUGUAUACGAAGCGAUAGCUGUACCUGUAAAACAAACACUACUACGAACAGUAGUAGAGAGCUGCUAGAGAAAACAGAAGCUAACAAACAGAGUUUCAUAUACAUAGUCCAAAUCCAAAAUACAAAGCUACUCGCACUGGCGAGUUAAGUCCACUAUGUACAUAAACUCGAAACAAAACAUCUACCUGCAGAAGGGCACCUCUAGCUCAGCACGUCGGGUAGGGCUCUAACCCGCGACGCCCUUGCCUCGAUCCUGAUCCGCGGACGGUGCAGCAGCCGGAACCUGUGGCUCUGCAAAAACAGGGGGUAACAACUGGGCGUGAGAACUACUGUAAAAACAAGUAGUCCUCAGUGGGUACCGCCCAAAACAACAUCGGUCUACCCACUAAGUCUACAGAAGGGAGCAAGAAUAGUAGUGAAAUGCAGGAAUAAAGUCUACCGCUAUCAAAUACUACACUAUCAUGCUCUACACUAACCAACUGUAGGAAAUGUCCAACCUGACCCAAUCCAAUCGGGACUGUAAGCAUACCCGUCCCCGGGACUGUGAAUACACCCGUCCCUGCCCCGUUGCGACUGUCCAGCUACCUCCACUAUGACUAGUCCGUGGAGAGCAAGUCCAACUGGCAUGAGCGACACUAACGCAAAAGCACCAGCCUGACUCCGGAGUGGCACUCGUGGGCGCUACCCAACCGAGUAUGCAGCGUAUCUCUGUCGAGCUCAAUCAGGCUCCAACUAGCCAAAGUCAAGUAAUCGACUCAAAUCGGUCUAACAACCAACAGGUAACGUGCCCUCGGCACAAUCUGACGCCAAAAAGGCGAUACGGGUCCACCGUCAACUCUGACGGCACCCAACAGUCCGAAACAACCUGAACGACCCUGUAAAAAUCCACUCGGCGAACCAGCACGAGUGUAAAUACAUUCUAAACUACCUGGGGUACUCGUCUCGAAGAAACUGUGACAGUACAAUUUUCUAACGGCUCCUGGAGCUAAAUCAGGUAGUUAAAACUGGUGACAGGUCCAAAUCGCAGGUUUUCUCCUAAUUCAAAUUCCAAGUCCAACAUGUAUAAUCUACUUAAUUUAUAAAACAUGCUCCAAAAUUCAGAUUUCACAAUCUACAUAUAGUCCAUGAAUUUGAGCUAACACAAUUUACCGAAAUCAAGAUCUAUACAUGUCAACCAAUAAGAACUUAGGAGUAAAGCCGAUGUAACCCACCUAAAAUGCUAAUCCUUGGCAACGAAGGACUCCCACUGGUGUAGAGCAACUUGCUGGAUCAAACGCACAGCUCCGAGUCCAGAAAUCGUCCACGCUCGAGCUCUACACAACAAUAAAUCACUGUUUCAGUCCCGAAUUUCAGCAGUGAGGUACAACAGGGAUUCGACCAAGCUAACCUUCACCAAAUCCAGCAAGCAAGGGCUUCGUGGAUUCCUCUCGAAGUCUUGAAUCCAAAGAGCCAAGUCUCGUCGCAAUGCGAUGCUCCUACGUCGAGUACGAGCUGAAAUACUAACAGUCGACGGUGGAUUUCAGCAAACAAUAGUUAUCCGAGUUGAAGUAGUAAGAACUUGCCCAAAAAUCCAAGGGAAGGCUGAAUUACUCACCUCGACAGCGACAAGCGCCGGCACGACGUCAAGAACAGCGUAGUCGCACGCUCGCUCGAUCUCCUCGCAAAGUCCCGGCGUCAAAUACGUGCUCGAACGAUCCUGCGGCGCGACGUCGGCGACGAAACUCCAAGUAAACUCCUUCCUUGCUUCCAACCGGGUGGGAGAGUGAGAGAGAUGGAGAGUUGCAGCUAGAAGACCUCUCUCUCUCUCUCUACACGAAGCUAAAUAGAGGGGAGUGAGGGGUGAUACAAACGAGGUGAGAUUUUACCGUUUUAGCCCUUUACCUACUCCCUUGUACCGGUACACGGGCUCCUGUACCGGUACAAGAGCCAACCCGAGAGCAGCUAAAUCUGUGCGCGUAGCUUGUACCGGUACAGAAAACCCUUGUACCGGUACAGCAAGCAUUCCCCGCGCUGGUUGUACCGGUACAGCAUACACUUGUACCGGUACAGCAAGCAGGAAAAUCUGCUGUUUCGCAGAUUCCUUCGCUGAAAGCUGGCCUCGCGUCGCACGGAGUCCGUUUUGCGUCUAUUUGACGCCAACGCGACUCGGACUUGUCCCGACACUCUCCAGAGCUGUCGACAAGCCCCCACAGCCAAACACCAGGGAUCUCACAUUUGCUCACUGGAUAAGAAAGAGUAUAAAGACCAGAAACCAAAAGCAAAGUAGUUGGUAAACAUUGAAACUAAGUUCUGUCAUAGAUGUUAGAAGAAUUCCCCGCACAAUGGGUAUCAAAGAAGUCCAUAUUCGCCAAUCAAAGUGCUUUCUCUUUGAUAGCUUUCAGUUCUAGCAAAAAGGCCCAAGCAAAAGUUAAAUUAUUGGUAGUUAGAUGAAACUCUUUGGCUUAGAUUAUGAUCAUGAUGAGUUUACCAUAGAGCGAGGAUCUAUAACAACUCAUGCAGGAUUGUUCGUCGAAGACGGGAGAAGGUAAUCUGUCAAGAAGUUUGCCCUCCGAGAUAGGAGAGGUUGUAGAUGAUGUAUUUAUGGAACCUAAAAUUUAAGCAGCAGAGAGUAAGCUACGCAAUCGAAAGUAUGUUUUGCCGAAGAUAAAUGGAAAAUGAAGUGAGAAAAGUAAGUGAUAUAUAGCUAAAAAAUCACAUAUAAGUUAUGCUAGAUCUAAUAAUUAACCAGUAUGAUUCACUUUCUUAGAAUAAGCAUGGUUUUCUUAUUGAAUAAAGAGUGGCAUAAACUUUGAUCAUAAACAUAUUUUGCUACAGCGUUUGUUUGUAUCCAAAGCAAUAACUUGUAACAGAGUUUAGGCCUAUCGUUCGACAAACGGUGCAACUAAGGCCUAUCGGCUUUUUUUAUUCCUUUUCUUUUUUUUAUUUUUAUUUUUGGUGUGAGAUUGGAAUGUCUAAUAAUUGAGCAGGCACUAUAGUUAAUAGCCUCGUCUAAUCAACGCACAGGAUUAACUGUGCAGUGGGGCCCACAGGUAGCCGACGCUCGGCUCCAAUCACACACUAGUGGGACCCACCCACCACCACUACGGCCUAUACAUACACCUCAUACACCCAACUUAAUUUCUAAUAAUUAAUACAUAUUAUUAACAUACCAACACUAUGGCGCAGAGGGAUUCGAUUCCUUGACAUGCAUUUUUCCCAAAUAAGAAGGUAUGAAAAACACAUUAAUUAGACUUAAUUAUCUAACAAUUAAAAAAAAAGGAGCAUUGUAUGAUGUGUAUGAAUUAUGUCUUCAACAUUAAAAAUUAAGGUAGCGAACAUGGUAAUACUUUAACAAAUGUGGUGUGGAUCAGUUCUUAAAUGAUAGCGUUCAAUAAUAUUGAAGGCAAUAAUCUAACAUCCCCUGGUCCCAUGGUCUAGUGGUCAGGACAUUGGACUCUGAAUCCAGUAACCCGAGUUCAAAUCUCGGUAGGACCUUAUAUUAUUAUUAUUAUUAUUAUUAUUUUGUUAUUUAAGUUCGAUUUGCAUUGGAUAAUUGGAUAUCACCUUAAUUAUCUUUUUAGUUAUUCAAACUACAUCUUUAGUUGGUUCCAAAUCAAACUGAAUCAUUGAUAUCACCUUGUUUAUUUGUAGUUAUUCAAACUGUAUCUUUGUUUUCGUUCCAAAUUAAGCUGACCCAUUAACACCCACAGGGAAAUGGAUUGCAUAUCACCUCAUUCAUUUUUUAAGUUAUUCAAACUAUAUCUUUACUUUGGUUCCAAUUCGAACUGAAUCAUUAGGCAUUGCUGAGGUCAGAAGAUAUAGGCAUUCGAACUCGCAAUGUACAGACAUUAUCAAACUCUUUCAAAAGCUCUUCAACCUGCAUCAUCCAACAAAAGAACCAUAAGAAACAGUUUACUAAACAUGCAACUUAUCAAAGACGUAAUAGACCUACAAUUCAUGUAAUAAGGUGUUUACCAUAGCCUUGGUCUUCGAAUAGAAUGAUCCGGUAAAGUUUGGCUUGUCUUCCUCCUUGAAGCCAAUUCCUGACCCUUGAGGAUGAGCAUCAUCAUAUUCAAAUAUACAUCCAGUUGCAUAAUUCAUCAUUAACAGCCCCUGUUCCCUGCAGACAUCAGCAAGAGUCAAAGUGCCCACAACAUUGGUUCGAAUCGUCUCAGGCUUGUGUGACUCGCACCAAUCAACAUUAGGUCUACCGGUCACACCAGCUGCAUUAAAUACAUGUGUUGGUUUAACAUUCUGCUUAAAGUACUUAAAAAUUUCUCUUUUUCACGGUUGGCUUUGAAUGAUAGCAAAGGGAUCGGUUAAUUGUUAUAUAGAUCAAUGUCUUGGCAUUUGGCUAUCCAUGAAUGUUCAUCGUACUAUGUUUGAUAAAUUUUGUUUUUCUUAUCUCAUUUGAUUAAUUAGUUCUUUUGCUUUGAUCGUUUAAUUAACCUCUACCGAGUCUCGAGUCUAAGUAGUGUGAAAAGAUGCAUUAAUUAGAUCAAGCAAAUUGAUCUUCUUAUUUACAUGGAUCAGGAAGUAAAAGUGUGGAAGAAAAAACUUGUGGGAUAGCUGUGGUUGAGGUCAUCUUCUACUUCUUCUUCUGUUUGCAGAUUAGGUAAGUUAUACUAUAUCCCUUUUUUAUUCUCAGCUUUUGUUAAAAUUGCAUCACUGUCUAAACAUAUAUAUGUUUUUAAAUGUGUUUUUAAAUGUGUUUAAAUGUGUUUUCUUUUUUCAACUUAGGUUUACACCCAUUUUUUAUCUUAUCUUCUCACAAUCUUAUCAUCUAUAUUAUGGAUAAGAGCUGGAUACGCGAAUCAAGGUUUGCUCUAACACAAAUAAAGUUAUUCUUUUUCCAAAAUACAUUAAUUUGUAUAUUAAUCCAUAUUCACUUUCGAAAAUGUAGGGUUAGUGAAAAAUAUCUUCAAGGAGUUUCAAACUUUCUCGAUUUUGCAUUUUUGAAUGCAAUGCAAGAAGGGUUAAUCCUUUGCCCUUGUAAUAAAUGUACAAAUCGCUAUUGGCAAGAUAGAGAAACCGUUCUAGAUCAUUUGAUUUGUGAUGGCUUUUCAAAUGAUUAUACAAAUUGGAUCUAUCAUGGAGAAAAUGUUAAUUUGUUCUCCUCUAUGCACGAUUUUGAUAACACUGAUGUGCAUGAUGAUAUGCAUGGCAUGCUUAAUGAAGCUUUUGGUAUUUUUCAUGAACCUGAUGAAAACAUUGCGCAACGAGAACAUAUGUCUAAUGAAGAACCUAAUGAGGAGGCCAAAAAAUUUUACAAAUUAGUUGACGAUUCAGAGCAGGAGUUAUACCCUGGUUGUAAAAAGUUCUCAAAACUCUCAUUUAUUGUUAGAUUAUUUCAUUUGAAGUGUCUUAAUGGGUGGACAAAUAGUUCAUUCACGGCGCUACUUACUCUAAUUAAAGAGGCACUUCCUGCUGGUGAAACUCUCCCAAAUUCAUUUUAUGAAGCAAAAAAGAUCAUCGAUGACUUAGGUCUACGGUACAAGAAAAUCGAUGCUUGCCCAAAUGACUGUCAGUUGUACUAUAAGGGGACUUCUACUGCAAGUUCAUGCAAUACUUGUGGUGCUUCUAGGUGGAAAACUACUGAUAAUAAUGUAAAGUGUGACACAUCGACCUCUAAGAAAGUUGGCAAAAAAAUUUCAGCCAAGGUUGUGUGGCACUUUCCUUUAAAACCAAGACUACAGAGAUUGUUUAUGUCAUCAAAAACUGCUUCACUUAUGAGAUGGCAUCAUGAUGGUCGAACAAAGGAUGGAAUAAUGCGACAUCCCGCUGACUCCCCAGCAUGGAAAACAUUUGACUUUGAGCACCCAGAAUUUUCUUCAGAACUUCGUAAUGUGAGACUCGGCCUAGCAAGUGAUGGUUUCAACCCGUUUCGAACAAUGAGUACAGCACAUAGCACAUGGCCAGUUAUUUUGAUACCAUAUAAUUUACCACCAUGGCUGUGUAUGAAACAACCGUUUAUUUUUUUGUCCUUACUUAUUCCAGGACCAACAGCGCCAGGUAAUAAUAUUGAUGUGUAUUUAGAACCAUUAAUUGAUGAGUUGAAGGAUCUUUGGCUUGAUGGAUUGAAUACUUAUGAUGCAUCAAUGAAGCAAAACUUUCAAAUGCGUGCUGCAUUAUUGUGGACUAUUAGCGAUUUUCCAGGGUAUGCUAAUUUGUCAGGAUGGAGCACUAAAGGGCGUUUGGCAUGUCCUUCUUGCAAUGUUGAUACUGAAUCUCGCUACUUAAAGCAUGGUCGAAAAUUUUGCUAUAUGGGCCAUCGUCGAUAUUUAGAAACAAACCACAAAUUUCGACGGGAUAAGAUUUCUUUUGAUGGGAGCCAAGAACUUAGAGAUGCACCUGUUCCAUUAUCUGGCUCGAUGGUCUUGCAGCAAUUACAGAAUGUUGAAAACAAAUUUGGCAAGUUAGAAAAGAGAAAGCGAGGAAAGGAUGUUAAUUUACCACACAAUUGGAAGAAAAGAAGUAUAUUCUUCUCUUUGCCUUAUUGGGAGAGCAUUCUUAUACGUCAUAAUUUAGAUGCCAUGCAUAUUGAGAAAAAUGUUUUCGAUAAUUUACUUUGGACAUUAUUAAAUGAAGAUGGUAAAACAAAGGACAAUAUAAAAGCUCGUCGUGACUUGGAAGUUAUGGGUAUUAGAGACUCACUCCAUUUAAAACAAAAUGGAAGCAAAACCAUAGUUCCUCCUGCAUGCUUCGUGCUUUCUAAGCAAGAAAAGAAUAUUUUCUUCAAACUACUAAAAUCAGUUAAAUAUCCAGAUGGAUAUGCAGCAAACAUUUCAAGUUGUGUGCAUGUAAAAGAUCGAAAAAUUAUCGGACUAAAAAGUCAUGACAGUCACAUUUUUUUACAACAAUUGCUUCCUAUAGCAUUAAGGAGUGUUCUGACAAAGAAUGUAAGCUCGCCGCUUAUGGAAGUAAGUAGGUUNAACUUUGUAUUUGUGGCGGGUCUGUACGUCACGUGGGCCAGGUUGAAAAAAAAAAAAAAAAUGGCACGUUUUCCGCAACUCUGUUUUUAAAAGGCUUUUAAAAUCGGCCCCGGGGCGUGACAAUACCACUUGAAGUGUUUGGAAAUCAAAUUUCAAAAAUUUUCAACAUCACUUGCCUAAUGAUCAAAUGGUUUCAAAACUUGUAAUUUUAAUGGUCGAUAUGAGGCGUUUUCUCGUUUAACGGCGUAAAGAUAUCCAAAUCAAUUAAAUUUUUGUUAGAAAAUUUUUUAAAUUAUUUAAAACAAGAUCUAUACUCUUGAUCUUGAUUACAAGACUUCUAUCAUCAUUUUUUAAAGAAUAUUCAUUUUCAGCCGUUCAUUUUUGUGUCCACUUGAUGGAUAAGAGAACAAUAUCGAAAAUGUAUGAAAUUUGAUUAAUUCUAAACACUUCGAGUGGUAUAGAUCAUGUUUAACGGUGUCGAUCGUCGAUUUGGAGGCUCCAUCAUUGAAAAUAAAUGGGUGGCAACGGAGCCCGUUUGCUACCGAUAGCAUUCCAGCUCAACUCUAAUUUUCUAACUUAUAAUUGUAGGAAACAUAUCGACAUAAUAAAAGGGAUGAAGCGCCGAAUGCGGCCAAGGGAAAUAGAGCGAAUUCAUAGUGAGACAUUUCAUGACUGGUUUAAAGAUCAUAUAAAAGAUCGUCCUUUUAGUUUAAAUUUUUAUGCAUAGUAAAGUAUACAUUUUUGUACAUAACAUUAUUGUACUAAUUAAUGUUUUCUUAAUUUGAUGAGUAGGUUAGUAAAGCAGUUGAUGAAAAGAAUGAAAUUUUGCCGGAGGAUAUUAUCUCGCUAGCUCGUGGCCCUUAUAAAGCUGCACGAAGAUACCAAGGUUAUAUUGUCAAUGGAUUUAGAUUCCACAUCAGAGACCGUGAAAUUAAUAGAAGAACUCAAAAUAGUGGAGUUGUUGUCACUGCUCGUACAUCUAGUUAUGCUAGCGCCAAAGACAAAAAUCCUAUUGCUGGAGAUAUAAUAUACUAUGGAAUUCUCACGGACAUAAUUGAAUUAAAUUAUUAUGAGCAUUUUAAAGUGGUGUUAUUUAAAUGUGACUGGGCGGAUGUGCAUUCUCAAGGUAGAGGAGUAAAAACAGAUGAUUUUGGGUUCACGUUGGUAAAUUUCAACCGACUAUUAUUUAAAGGCCACGAACUCUCUGAUGAACCUUUUACCUUAGCCUCGCAAGCGAAGCAAGUCUUCUAUGUACAAGAUCCUAUUGACAAAGAUUGGCAGAUUGUCAUUCAUACAAAACCAAGAGAUUUAUUUGAGAAUAUGAUGAAAUUCAAUAGAUUAUAGAACUGCCUUCAACAGUACAUUGAAAAUAUAGGAAAAUGUCAUUAUUAACGAAGUAAGUAGUCUUUGCAGAUGAAGACUUGAUAUGCCCGAAAUUCAAUUGACACGUCUUAAUCAACCCCAAGAUGAAAUGGAUUGGAUGAUCAGAAUGGAAGAAAUAAAUGGUCUAAUUGAAUGUGAUCUGGAAUUUCACUAGUAUAGAAUCCUUUGAAAAUAUCGUUACUUUUUAUAAAAAAAAAAUAUAAAAAGUCUUAACCGUUGAUUAAUAGACUAAAAUUAACUUAAUACUUAGUCAAGUAAAAGAAUUAUUUUAUUCAAGGUUAAUGGUAAUUAAAUAAUAACAUCAUUUAAAGAAAUUUAAUUGAGGUCCUAAAUUUAUGCAUUAAUAGUCACACUAAUUUAGGAAAUAAUGUGAUUAACAAAUCUUAAUAAACUAUAUUAGCAUUAAUUAGGAACACCUUAAAUGGUUUAGUCUUCUACAAUAGCAUAAUAAAUUAUUAGAAAUUUAGAUAUAGUUUAUUUCAAUACAUGAAUUUUAAAUUUUAAAAAAUAAAUACUUUAAAAUUAAAUGAAAAAUUUAAUUACAGAAAUUUCAAUGUACAUAUAAAAACUAAAUUUCUCCCAAGAUUUAAAAGACAUUUAUCGCAAUCACGUUAACAACUAAUGCAUAAAAAAACACUAGAAGAUAAAGAAUUUCUACACUAGAAUUUCUCAGAACGAAUUAUAUUAACUAUUAAUUUAAUUCAAUAAUAAAAACAUAUGAAGCCCGAUUGUAUUACUGACUCAGACUUUGACCAUUCUAUCAAGAAUCUGAUUUUGACCUUGAACCGAAUAACAUAAGAACACUUGAACCAGUAACAGAAAUAAAUAUCUAAACAGUAAUAAAUAAUUUAACUUUAAGUAAUAAAUAUUUAAAUAAAGUUAAACAUAUAAAUUAAAAAAAGAUAUAUGAGAAAAAAAUAGUAGGAAUUUGAAUUCGAAUCUGACUAACAAUCACAAAACUUAUUCCGAACUUGGCACGAGAUUUCAAAAUCCAUAUCCAAAUUCGAAAACUAACCAAUUUUUCGGAAACCCAAAACAAACAUAAACCAGAUAGACUAGAAUUCAAACAAUUAUUUCUGUUUACCAUAUUUCAAAGUAUUUAUAUGAAACUUAAAUUUUUAAAAUAUAAAUUUGAAUAUAAUAUUAAAUUUUAAAUUUAAAAGUGAAAUUUAAAUUAGAGAAAUUUUAUAUUACUAUUUAAAGUUUAAAUUCAAUGAUCAUAUUGUCAAAUCAUUUGAAAUUUUCCUUAUAUGAAAUGCCAAAUUAUGAAAGGAAAGAUAGAGAGAGCAAACGGAAACAAAGAAAAAAUAAAAAUUUUGAAAAUAUAAUAAAUGUAAAAUGACUAAAUUGCCCAUGUAUUAAAAGACAAAAAUAUUCUUUUUUGAGGUACCUGGUAACCGAUACCUCUCCCAAAGUGACCUGCUAUUGCAGGUCACAAUUUUAAAAAAACUAAAUCUGAGUCGUUGAAUACGCGUGAAUGAACGGUAACCAAAAAAAAAAAAAUAUAGAAGCAUUACUCUAUUUUUUUUUGACAAUUUAAUAUAUUAUUUUAUUAAUCUAUUUGAAGCUGCAAUGGUUAUGUUAGGAUAACUAUUUGUGAAGUUUGUUUACGCAAUAUUUUUUUUCUUAUUAAAAUUUGUCUUCUAAAUUGUUCUUAUGAUUUAUCGUAUUUGCAUUCUAAUGUAGCUUAUUUUUUUCUAUAUGUAGAUGGACUCUAAGGGUAAAGAGAGAAGUUCAAAAAGGCCAUAUUUUGAUCAAAGGGACUAUGGUGAGAUGCUUUUUGGCUCGGACCAUUUUCUACAUAAACUUUUGCGAAACGAACAUCAUUCUACUAAACCUCUAGAAGAUCAGCCCCCCUUGUCACUUGAGCACGCACUUCAUCAUUAUAUGAAUCAUCUAGUUUCUAGCUUGCACCAAGAGCAACGCCCAUCACUUACUUCUGAAAUUCCAGAUAACAAUAUUCCGGUCCAAAUAGGGUCAACACAGAACCAGCAUGAUCUAGCUAAACAAUUAUCACGACAACAUCAUGAUGCUCAGUCUAUUCCUAUCCUCGAGUAGCCGCAUAGUGAUCCAGCUAUAGACAAACAACCUAUUUUCGGAACUGUCUGGAGUCAGCAAAGUGAAGAUCCUCUACAAAAUUCAAACAUGCCUGAAGAUUGUGAAGAUGACUGUCACGCCCCGGGGCCGAUUUUAAAAGCCUUUUUAAAAUAGAGUUGCGGAAAACGUGCCAUUUUUUUUUUUUUUUUUCAACCUGGCCCACGCGACGUACAGACCCGCCACAAAUACAAAGUUCCUCUGUCCACUCGGACAGAGUCUCCUUUGUAUUGCGGACAACCAGUCAACGUAAAAGCGAUAACCACAAUCUACAUUUACAAUCAACAACAAGUCAUGUAUAUGGCUUUCCUAAGCUUCCACUCUUGAAUGAUGCAUGGCCUCUAGCUUUAGGCGCUGGAUGAUAAUGAAUCAAAAUCCUAUUUAAAGGUGCUCCACGACGGCUUUUUGUUUUUAACUUAAUUCUUUAUCAUAAAACCAUUCGAACCUUUUAACUGUUGGCCAAACGGAAUCUAUUUGAAGACUUUGCCUCCGAGGGGUAGAAACACAGAUAUGUAAUACCAGAAAAUCGUAUAUAAAUCAUAUCCAUCCACAAACCUUGUUUACAUGCAUAAUACGAGUCCCCAGAAUCUACCAAACCAUCAACUUUCACAUAAGAUCGUUAACUGACCAUUACUAUCUAAGCUAUAUCAACAGACUGUAAGGGUGAAUAAAGCGAUACCUGAGUUCGGAAGAUCUAGCGCCUACGAAGUGUCUCAGUUAGUCUCAUUCACUAGCGGCGUCUGAAAAUAGGUGGGGGGUGCGACAAUGUAAAUGUCUCUCCAGUGCUACGAAGCGGAUGAAGCGCGAGGGUAUCCGGUCGGGAGAGUAACAGUAGGAUCGCGUAAUACUAAUAGUAAGGNNNNNNNNNNNNNNNNNNNNNNNNNNNNNNNNNNNNNNNNNNNNNNNNNNNNNNNNNNNNNNNNNNNNNNNNNNNNNNNNNNNNNNNNNNNNNNNNNNNNAAAAUUAUUUUCAACUGUGAGAUUGUCUAAUUUAGGGGGAGUUUGAAAUUGUUUAAAAAUAAAAAAAGGAGAAAAAGAUACUCCAAUGUUCAAAAAGAUGUGGAAAGAGUUACAUCCAAAAGGAGUGUGAAAACUACUACCACAUGUAGGAAAGAGCUACCAUCCCGGUCGUCCGGCAAGCGUGUGAAGCUACCACAUGGAAUUUAAUUGAAAAAGCCGAAAAGGUUGAAAAAAUAUAAAUAUUUUAAAAUUUUCGGAGUAAUAAGGUGCUAGUUUGAAAAAGAUGCUCAAAGAGCUACCCCCGGUGCCAUAUUAGUUAAAUCUCUAUUUUGAAUGUGUUGCGACAAAUUAGUGUCAAUUUUGUUGAAUUUCUCAAAAUCAUUUUUCAUCAACUUACAUCUUGAAGGUUUUGAAUCAUUAAAUCACUUUUGAUAAUGAAAUUUUGAUGUUUUGAUGGAUUUUAAAAUUUUAUAAUAUUUUAUUUUCAUUAUAAUGAUUUUUGGAGUAAAAGCCUUAAUUAUAUGAAUUUAAUUUAAAUUUGAUGAGUUUUUAAAGGAUAAUUUUUGAAAAAAAAAUUUUACAUUUUGGUCCUUGUACCGGUACAAGAAAUCGUGUUCCGGUACAAGGUCUGUACCCGAGCAGAAUAUAACCGGGUAUAACGCUUCGAUCUCUCUCAAAUCUCAACCUUUUUCGAAAAUUUUUGUUCAUGAGAGCUCCAGCGACUCUUCUUCAACCGUUCUACACGUUCUCCCCUUGGAUUUGUAAGUUUUUAGCAUCAAAUUUGUGAGUUUUAUCCCGGUUUUGAUAUUUUCACUGUUUUUGCGGGAUAAGGGUUUGAUCUCUGUGCUAAUUCGUUUGUGAUGCAAUUUUUUGCUAUAGAUCAGUGUCUUAGGCUAUUACCUUGCUUGUAGAACACUUGAACAACAUUAAAACAAGUUAUUUUUCACUGAUCUAAGAUUAUGCUCUAAUAUGCAUGUAAUUUCGGGAUUUUUCAAAAAGUUCGAUUUUUGCUGAAAUUUUAUGCAUGAUCUGGUUAGAAAUAUCAUUUGUAUGCAUUCUAAUGUUAUUAGAAAUUUUUUCGCUAUUUUUACAGAUUUUUUCAAAAAAUUUUGUUCAUGUAUGCAAUUUUUUGAUAUAGGAAAAUGACGUUUUUGCUCGUAUUGGCAUUGUUGAUGCUAAUGGCUGGGAGACGGAGCCGUAGUGGUGGUAGAGGUCGUCAUGGGGUUUCUAAAAGGACACGCACAACUGAAGAAGCGUCCGGGUCUAAUCCGGAUUAUCAGGCGAGCUCCCCGGAAGAACCUGAAGAACCUAUUGCUCGACUUGACAAGGGCAAAGGAAUAGCUGGCGAAUCAUCUCAUGGUGGUGGUUCUCGUACUCGUGAGGGACGUACAAAACAAGCUACGGAUGUCCCUCCAGCACGGCAAAGGUUGUUUGUGUCGAAGUCGUGCAUAGCUGAACGCUUUGUGAACUUUAAUGACCUGGUUCGGGAUGUUCCUGAUUUUGGUCGACUGCUAUAGCAUGCACCUAUUGAGCCAGUUGGACGGGUCCCGGCCAAGGCUCCUUUCUGUGUGGAACUCAUUCGGGAGUUCUAUAUGAAUGGAAAAGUACUUGCUGAAGACGAUGACAAAGGCACUUUUAUUUUUGAGACUAUUGUGCGACAGAGGAGAUUCCCAGUUACCCCCUACGAUAUUGGAGAGCUCUUGGGAAUGAAUGUGGACACUACCGGUCUUCUCUAUACGUCAGGAGGAUUCCAAUCGUCAACUCACAUGGAUAUCGUUAUUGGAGCUAUAUGUAAGGCUGGUGUUCACAUGACUCAUGGUUACAUAGAAUCCAAGGAUUUAUUACCAGAGUACCACUUGUUAUCUUUGGUCAUGAGCUACAAUGUUCAACCAACCAUUGGCACAAAGAGGAUUCGUUGGGAGAGAUUAAUGUUGCUAUAUCUACUUGGUCAUCCCGCGCAGGCUCAUGGAUUGAAUAUCAACAUUCCAUUUCUGAUCUGGCAAAGAAUGAUUUGCAAAAAUUAAAGAAGAAGGUGAACAACAUUGGAAGGAAAGUUGAGUCCAGCAUCAAAAUGUUUGAGUUAAGUAUCAAAAGAUUGAUGGAUAAGAUGGGGUGUCGACAUGAUGAUAUUUGGGAACCUACUCCAUCUUCUGCCUCGUAUCAGCGGUCAUCUUCACGACAUCCUCUCAUUCCACCGUCUGGUGAUGCUCCUAAGGCUGGGGGUUCUGGAGCUGGUGUUGGCGAUGAUGAUGAUGAUGACGAGGACACGGAGUGAUUUCUUCGUCGAGCUUAGUCUUUCUCUUUCACUACAUUUGUAUUUUAGGAUGAUGUUUUAUUUUAGUUCUGUUUUUUUUUUUUCUUUUAAGCCUGUAACUAUGACUUGACUACGCUUAUACUUUUCUAGUAUGUUUUCUCUCUCUAUUUGCUUUCUUUUGGCAAUUUUUGACAAAAAGGGGGAGAGCGUAGAUGAAGGAAGAGAGCAGAGGGAGAGCAUGGACGAACAGGCAUUGAACUAAAGUAGAGGAUGAUGAGUUCAAAAACAAAGGUGGAGAUAUGAACAAAGGGGGAGAAGGUAUAAGAAUUUAGUGCUAAUCAUCUUUGAAUGAAUUGUUUUGCAGGAAAUCAAGACUUCAAGACUCCUAGUUGCGUCUAAGUCAUAGAGUCUGUUUUAGGAGUUUUUGAUGUAAUUUUGAUUCUCAAUUUGUAUUUGGACUACAUGCGAGGGGUUCGAUGUUUUGGUGAUGACAUUGAACUUCAUUUUUUUUAGAUUGUAAUUUGUGAGUUUGUGUGUGUUUUGUCACGAAAUUGCCAAAGGGGGAGAUUGUUAGGUCCUAUGUGUUGGCAAGUUUCGUGGGUCGAGUCGGAGUCUUGAAGAAGUCCGCGGAAGCGGAGUAUUGAAAGAAUCGGAAGGACUGCAAAACACGCACCAGAAUAGUGAAUCACGAGGCUUAGGUUAAGCUUUUAAAAUCUUGUUAUGGGGGAUUCACGUACUUAAUUAUAGGUUUUAGAAUCAUUGUUUUCAAUGUAAUUGAUUAGAGAAGUUUUAAAGCUUGUAAACCUCCGGAAACACUAACCAGUACACUGCUUUAGGCAAAAUUGCAUUGUUGUAUCCGGUACAAGGGUUUUCUGUCCAAUGUACACUCACACGUUUGCGAGAAAAGUUUGAUGGUUUGUUCAGGUACAUUACAUCACGGCUGUCCAAGGGUACAAGCCCUGUUCCCGGAACAAGCGCAGGCCUGUUCAGGGUACACGAAGCUUCCGCAGAAAAAUCUCGCGUCCCCUGCUGUAACCUGCCUGGAAAACCAAGCUUUUUUCUGCUUCCGGUACAAGGUGCUGAUUUUGGACAAGAAACUUCUAAAUCCUACUCCGUUUUGAUUCUAAAAGACUAUAAUAAGCUAGAGGGGUUUCUCCUAACUGAUAGGAUCAUAAGAAUAUAUGGUUGAGCAAAGCCCCUACGAAGGCUCGGAUUUCAUUCUACAACGCUAUUUCUACAAAUUAGCUCCUUAGAUCUAAAUCGAGAUAACGUUUCGCAUUGCUAUAGUCGAUUGAUCUAGUCUUCGCUGUGAGUUCUAUUCGCUGGUUUUCAUACAUAACUCCUAAGCGAUAGGAUCACCAUACAUCAUGAUGCUCUCAUUGAACAGCGUCGUGGAUGUCGGCGUGAGCAAAGGCGUUCGUGGAUUCGGAAUCGCUGGCCUCUGAUGGAUUCGAGUGCGUCGUGGAUUCGGGCGUGAUUGAGCUUCGUGGAUUCGAAGUGGAGCGUUCGUGAUUCGAACGUGAGGGCGUGUACAACGCCAGGAGGGUAGCAAGAUUCAUAGAGGUUUAAGAGAGGUUGACGCCGCGGAGACCGGUAAUCACCUGUAAUCUUUUCUCUGAGUGAUAUUUUUUCCGCAGUGUUGGUCCGUGGUUUUUCUCCAAGUUGGAGUUUUCCCACGUAAUUCGUGUGCUUUGUUAUUUUCCGCAGUUUAUUUUUAUUGGAUCGAGAUUUGUGGUUUUUGCCGUUUCACGACACUAUUUCACGCCCCUCUGGUUGAUAGAUACAAUCUAGAUAGUAUCCUGGGCUCCUGCAAAAUCUUUCAUCCUCUGCUGCCCUCCGGACUGGCAUUUUGUGUUUUUGUAACAUCGGCCCUUGCCAUUUGCCGAUGGUUGGACAUUUGAGCUUGCGGCCACUGAUCUACAGGCACAUUGCCGGUUGACUUUACCGUCUCAAAUUAAUUCUUCCAAAAUUUCUCUUCCUUUCCCAUAGGUCUCGGCUAGGACUGUAUGCGAGUUCAUUGACUAAUCUCCGACCAGACUCUAUGACUCCUUCGGAUCAUCUCCUUCGAACUCCGGUCAGUCUCUAACCUGGCUUCGAUGCCUCUAGUGUGGUCGUGUACCCCUCAAGAAAUCUCUGUUUCCAAAGCUGAAUGUUUCUACUGGAUGUCUCCAUCGACUGUGAUGCUCUUCCUCUCUGCUAUUGUAAUAAUCAAUGCAGAACUUUCUUACAUCAAUAGGUCUUUUCUGUGUUUGAACCGAAUCGGACUUCCGUUCAGACUCAUUAGGAGGCUUCGUCCGAGCAUCCUGCUGAUUUGUCAUGCUGUCUUAGGAAUCUCUUCCCAUUCCUCAAGAGCCGCCAUCAUUGUCUCAUCCAUUUGUUGGCUUCUUUCGUUGUCCGUUGAUCGAUCGACUUCCAAUCCUUUCUUUGUCAUUUCGGCUUGCACUUCCAUGCAAAGCGAAGUAAGCGUCUCCUCUUGAUCAUAAGUAAUGUUUCAAGCGGUCUUCUUAAUCCGCACCGGCUUUUCCUUUGACAUUCCACUCAUUUUAACCUGCGAAGGAAAUGGAUUCUUGUCAAUUUAUCUAUGUUUUUAUUUUCUUGUCGCAAAUAAGACCGACCUCUCAUUUUUCUGUCUUUUUGAAUCCUGCCUCCUUAAAGGCAGUACAUCUCAUUUAGUCUUAUGGCUCAUAAAUGGUGCCAUUUCAAUACUUCUUCUUUUUCAAUUCUUCUAUCAUGGGAGGGGUAUAAGUUUGACCCUCCUGUAUGAAUUUCGUCUAUCUUUUAACAACCGUUUAAAAAUUAAAAUCCAUUUCAAUGCAUCAAAAGAAUAUGUAGUAAACAAACUGCAAACUCGUCGCUUUCAGCUUACUGGAUUUAGAAGGCUUCAAUAAUGCAGCACUUAUAUGGUUGACGGUUUUUAAACGCAUCUCACAGCAUAUUAUCUCGCUUCAUCAGCACAAGAUCUUUAGGCCUCUUUAGAUGAAUUCGGGCUCAUGAGCCGAAGACUCUUUCAAAAAGAAUAUGUUUUUCUCUUUUCCUUGCUCGCAGAUCUUUGUUUCGGCUCGCACACUGGGCCGAAUCCUCAUUAUUCCUUUUCGGAAUUGCUCAUAAUUGACGGCAACCGAAUUCAAAUCAAAUAAAUUUGAAUAUUGAUCUCAAAUGAUCUUUAAUUUUGAAGUGUACAGCCAUUGACAUGCCAUUUUGGCAACCUCUGACGUCGCGGCAUUCUCACAAAACAACCGCUCCUAGUCCCGUCUUUAAAUCGGUUCAAAUAUUUUUCAAUCGAUUCGCCCUGUUCUCUUUAUGAACUGAGCCAAAAUCGCAACCGAUAAUUCCGUCUAUGUUCUAUUAAAAUUGUUCAUGAACUUUCCUUCUAAUUUGUCCUGCAAUCUCGGACAAUGAGGAAAUUAGUCCGGUAGAACUUGUAACCAAGUGAAAGUUGUCUUGGUUAAUGAAGUGUUAAAAUAAUCUUAAUUUUUAAAAAUGGUAUCUGCCGCAGCCUCUUCGCAAUUGUGCUGUAAAACCGUGCCAACAUGCUUGACCGUAUUUUCGUCUAAUCUUGCGGAAAACCUAUCAAACUUCGACAUUUUGCAGUUUGCCGGGUAAGGAUGUUCUACAUCAAUGUUUUUGCCGGAUAAGGUAGCUCUGAACACCAAGCGCAUUGCCGGCCUUGCGCCUACCCCGAAGGUAUUUCGGAUGGGCUUCUCAGCAGUGCAUAUAUUUCAUUGUUGUUCCCAUAGUAUGUGGAAAUUGCGCUUGCGUGCUAUUUCGAUCCUGUGGCGGUAGACCGAAAUUUUGUACUACAUGGGUUACAUCCUUGUAUAUUCGGAGCUGCCCUAGCAACCCUAUAAUUUGGGGCUGUACUGCUACUGGUGGAGGAGUGAACCCCCAUGCUAUCUAUGGCUGAUUGACACGGCAAUUAACUAACAGCCGGGUCUACGUAAGCCGCUGUGUAAAUGGGCCCCCUGGUAUGAGGUGACCAUUUACUCCAGUGUUACAAGGAUUUAUAACACUGAGUUGUCAUCAACAGGCCCUUAUAACGCAUUGCCGGUUGCUCAUUCGAGUCGAACAAUUGCUAUUCGGGCAUAUUCUCAUCUCGAGACCGUAAUUGCGACAAUACUACUGGGCAUCAACCCGUACAGUGCCCUUCCUAAUAAACUAUUCUGGCCAAAACUUGUUAGGACCGCGAGUCAUUUGUCCAAGCGCCUGAGCCAAACUAAGGCUCAUUGUUUGUCGAUUUACGCUAGUACUCACCUCUGCCGUGCAGGUAAGACUCUUGGCAACUCCACAGCAUUAUCCGAAUUACUGGUUGUUGGUACGCUCAGAACUUCUAGGGAUGUAACUCUAUUGCGCAAAUUCAUGGCAAAUUAUCAAAUCAGGGCCAUUAUAUCAAAAAUAAUAAAAAUUACGCUUAAAUGUGUCCCACCGGGAGUGCUAAAUUAUUGCGUGUCUGUCAUGCCCUGGGACUGACGGAGGCCGCUCCCGGGUAGCGUGCCCAGACCCGCCAUUGUCUACACAUAUAAGCAAUCUACAAACAAUAGCGGAAAUAAAAGCAAGGGAUAUGAAACGUAAAGAGGAACAAUAACUAUGAUAUCAGAGCAAGUAAACUACUAAUACUAGUAACAGCAGGGAAGAAAAGAACUACUCACAAAGUAACAUAAAGUAAUACAAUAUCCAUCUCCAGAAGUACAGCAAAAGGAGUGGUCCUCUAUAAAUGGUACAACUCUCAACGUUCCCAAAAGAAACAACGAGAGGUAGACCACAUAUCAACGCGUCCUCUGAUAGCAAGCUAGCUUGAAGGGGAUACUCUUUCCGCAGUCCGUAGCCUCUCCAGCUGUGGAAAGGCAUUUGAAAUAACAUCAAGAAAAAGAGGGCGUGAGAACUAUAAUUUAUACGUUCCGCAGUGGCAAUGUACUGACCUCAGCUCAAUACACCACAGCCCCAAAAGAAAAGAGUAUCAAAAGCAACAAUAAUAAUAAAUGAUUGCAUUUAUGAAAGCAUAAUAGAAUCUAAACUACCAUGUCGCAAGGUAAACAUGAUUCAAUGUGUUUGUACAGUCUACUCUAUUCAUGAUAAAGUAUGUCAAUGCAUGACUAUAUGUCCAUCAUGGCCAGCAAUAGCAUUAUGAUCCAUUCUAUCAAUAUACUGAUAAAAUAUACUCUAUCGUGCCAACCAAGUAUACUAUGAAGCAACAAAGUAAAACUAAUCAAGUAUACUACAUGUCCAACGCUAGCGCCAAAAGCAUGUCAAAGUAAUCCAACUACUAAGGGCCUAUCGUAGUAGUGAUUUUCAACAUCCCGGUUUUAAUGUUACUUUUCAUUAUGUUCUAGGAUUACAUAAGUGUGUCGCAGCUUGGUGCCAGCCAUAAGUGUCGGUGGUUGCUCCAGCAUUCCGACUCUAGGAAUGAGUCUAUCCCUGCCCGCCCCAUAGGUUUCUCGAUACCGCACGAGCAAUAUAAGUCCACGUAGGUCCAACUCCGGAGUGCCGACUUGUAGGGAGCGACUCUCACAAGCAUGUGCGAAUGAGCACAAAUGGCAAACAAGCAUAGGUAUCGUCGCAAGAACUAAGUCAUCAUGUCUCAAUGUGAAGGUUCACCGUUCAAUAAAUUCUACUGUCAUAUGACCUUAGGGCUUUACUAAGUCCAAAUCUUUUCCAGAGUACUAGUGCCGCUUUAUACACUAGGUUUCACUCGUCAACACAGUAACGACUCAAGUGCUCCUUUAUGACAUUGGCUCAAUAGUUUGCUAAUAACACAAGUCCCGAGCCUCCUUUUAUGGCAAUUAUGCAUGACCCGUAUGUCCAACAGGAGAAGUUAUGUCUAAGAAGCACAUUAACUUCUCAUUCUCACUAUAUAGAACCAUGAAUCUUGGUCCUAUCUAGAUGUUAAACACAUGUAUAAGUCUCACAUGCCACUCUCUAUCUAUGUAAGGAAGUGAAUUCCUCUGAAAUUCGAGGAUUUGUACUUCAUGCCAGGACUGACUAAUCUGUCAAGAGUAUACACCUUUGUCGGAGUUGGAGUUCCAAAACACAAAAAAAAUGCUUUGGAGUUGAGUCCCGAGAGCAAAUGGUGCACUUUUAGCUGAUGUUGCUCUCAGGGGAACGGCGGUCUCUGGACGUGAGAGACGCGGUUCCCUUGGUGGGGUGUAGCGUUCUUGGUGCAACACAAGUCCUGGCAGGGAGGGACCGGUCCCGAACGUGGUCUGCGAGCGAGAAAUGCCGAAAUUUGGCUAAGUCCUGAAAAUCGAGCUUCGGGGAACGGUCUCUCAAGUGAGGACCGGUCUCCGAGGACGCGUCUCCCGGGAAGACGCGGUUCCGAACUGCGUGCGCUCCGAGGGAAGCUCUCGGGGACGCAGUCCAAGUCGGGAGACCGGUCGCCUCGCCGCGAAAAACCCAGUAAGUGGCUGUGCAAAUGGAUGAACAGUGAGGGGUCUAAAUGCAAAAUGCCUUUAUUAACAGUGCUGUAGCCCUCUCUCUCCUCACAUUCAUUCAUUCACUCUCUCUCUCACCCUCUCUUUCUCUCUUGCUCUCCUCUAGAAAAGAAAGGAGAAAAAGAAGACAAGAAGAGAGGAGGAAAAAGAAAGAGAAUGGAAAGGAAGGAGAAGAAGAAGGAGAUCAAGGAGAAGGCUUUAGCUACCUUCAUCUCUCCUCUCCUCUUCUUUGGUGUAGCUCUUGAGGUAAGCUACAAACCGCUAAUGUAAGGUACCGGGACUUCUAAACUAUUAAGUUACGGUUUACAUUCGAUUGGGAAGCCAUUUGAAUGGUCCCGGUGAAGUUUGAUGAGGUUCGGAGCUAUCGGGUGCUUCGUGCGCGUAGGCGCUAAAACGGACCCGAAAGGCUGAGUUGGGCCGUGAGCUAAAUCCGGCAUUAGCGUGGAUGAAAAGAUGAUGAAAACAUGCUCGAAAACAUAUUUGAAGAGUCUCGGUUCGAUUUGAAACGAAUCGGAGGUCAAACGAGCGAAAACGGGCGAAAACGGAGAAGAAACGGUGAAAAAGGCUGAAAUUUGGCUAAGUCCUUGAGGCUGAGUACUGGACCUUCGGGGACCGGUCUCUCACCGCAAGGACCGGUCUCUCAGGGACCGGUCUCUCACCGCACGGACCGGUCCCCGAGCGCGAAAAUGGCCCCCACGGGGGCAAUGUAAUAAAGUGAAAGUUGAGGGGUUUUUAUGCAUAUUUGGCAUUAUGAGGGUGUAUAGAAGUGGGUUUUAGCCCAUUUCUCUCUUCUCCCUCACCCCAACACCACCUCUCUCUCUCUCUUAACGUGAAGAAGAAGAAGAGGAGAAAGAAGAAGAAAGGAAAAAGAAUGAAGGAGGAGGAGAAGAAGAGAAUCACCACCACUAUCAUCUUCUUCUUCUUCCUCUCAACCUUGGAGCAAACCUAGAGAGGUAAGCUUCUAGGGCUCUAAUGGUAACUUCUUAGGGUUUGGUUUAUACACCCUAAGGAUGGUUUAGAUGCAAUCCUAGCAUGCUAUCUAGAUGAAUGAUACCUAAUUCAUGAAGGUAUUUGGUGGUUUUUGCAAUAGUAGCAUCUAGGGCAUCAAAAAUGGGAUUUUUGUAAAUAGUUGGGUUUGAUCUCAAAUAACACUCUGUAAACCUAAUUGGUAGGUCCACGAACGCAACGGUGCGCUUGGUUUGGCGAUCCGACGAGUGUACGCGGAGAUAUUGAGGAUCGAAGCCGUUAAGGUACAGAUUGCCGCAGCUCGCGGCGAAGGCUUCCUAAAAUCAUGGAAAUGGAAUCGUAGCAUCGUGGUGUCGUGGAAUAAACUCCAGAAUAGACGGAUCGCGGAUUGGUGGCCGUUCGGGUGGUCGCGCAAGAGUUCGAGCCGAACCAGGUCACGGGUGCCGCGGGAGGCCGAUUGCAAGUGUCGACGAGCAAUCGGAACGCGAAUUAAGGUUGGUUGUGUUUACCGAAGCGACUAGGUCGCCCUUUAUGUCCAAGAUGAUUAAGAAUCCAUGUUGAUGCAUAUGAAUGUAAAUGAGGCAUAUAGAUGUUGCAUAUAAAUGUAAAUAAUGCAUGUUAAUAAUAUGAUGCAAAUGCUAAGUAGAUCCAUGUAAAAUGAUAUGUAUGUGUGUAUUGGAAUAUAUGCUAGUUGCACUUAGCAUUGUGAGUUCAUGCUAGAUAGUAAAUGCAUAUUGGCAUCAUAGAAUGUAUGCGAGAUGAAAUGUGGAUAUCUAUAGUACUCGUUAUGACAAAUAGGAUAUCAAGUAGAUCGAGUGGCAUUAACCUAGUGUUAAUAAACAUAGGUCGGACCUAGAUGACAUUGAACCUAGUGUUGUUGAACCUAGGAUAAAUAACGAGUGGCAUCUAACCUAGUGUUAAAGAACAUAGGUUGAGU
This 85444-nucleotide long non-coding RNA is filed under the name Ananas comosus (pineapple). Its description in RNAcentral is "long non-coding RNA (ACOM_LNC024364)". The stretch from base 66918 to 66989 matches the Rfam family "tRNA". The record is from RNAcentral. Lineage: Eukaryota; Viridiplantae; Streptophyta; Magnoliopsida; Poales; Bromeliaceae.